UCCUUUUGGCCUGUAACUCUGGUGGGGUUGUAAUCACAAUUCAUACUUGUGCAAAGAAAUUCCAAUCUCAGGUAGAUAUGAUGUGUAGUUCCGAAAUUUUGGUAGAGACUGGUGUUUGGCAGACUUCCUUUGAGAGUGUGUUUUCUUUCAGUGUUCUAUCCUAAUAUAGUCUUUCUACUGAAAAACAAAAUCAGGUAUUUCUUGUAUUUCUACAUGAGCUUGUGGUGUUAUCCGACAUUUUGAUUUCUGUGCUAGAACAUCGAUCCAUGUUCCAAACUACACAGCUCAUGUGUUCUCCAUGGUUUUGGCCAUUGUGUUGGUUCAUUCACUUGUUGCCUAGACUACGUGUGAUCCCCUCCAAUAUCAUGCGUACCAUACUUCAGUUUUGUUUUCGUUAUGCAUCAUGAUCUGUCUCUGUUAUUCAUAGUUAUUCCAUUCAGACAGAAUCAGUUCUAACCUAUCUACUUUAGCAUAAUCCUCUUUUCAGUUGCACUGUAAAGCUCCAUCUUCGCUGUCAGUAGUGAGCGGCAAUGCAUAACUCGUGCAAAGUACCUCAACCCCCUUUCAAACUUUUGAUAUAUUCAUCUAUGGCUUUAUAUCAUUAUAUCACUCUCACCUGAUCCAUUUUGCAACGAUUUAUCCUUUUCUGCUGGGAGAACGACAAGUCAUAGUUUGCACAGCAUUUUUCUUGUGAACCUUAAAAGAUAAGUGUGGCCAGUGUCUGUUACCCUUAACUGUGAUUGAUACCCCUUGUUUCUGUCUUUGCAUCCUUACAUCACUCUCAGCUGAUUCAUUUUGCAGCAUUGUUUUCGCUUUCUGCUAAGAUUGGGACAGAUAAUUCAGAUGCCCAGUCUCUCCGAAAUCAGCUUAUCUUACCAGCAUUCUCUGGAGAACCAUCAAAGAUUAGGCUGGCCAAUGUCCUUUCAGCGAAAUCUUGGUAGAGACUAUCGUUCGGCAGACUUACUACAGUUCAGAGCAAUGCCGUUUUUCUUUCAGUAAGCUAAUCCUAAUAUGUUCUUAAUUAUCCGAAAACUAAAAUCAGGUUUGCAUUUCUAAUUCUACAUGAGUUUUUCGAAACCUGAAGCACAUCCUUCCAUUUUUUUUGUGUUUCCACGUUAUGUUCUUCCAGGCUGCACAGCUUCCACGCUAUUGGCUCAUUGUCUCGUUGCUUCAACUACACUGCUUGCGAUGUCCCUUCUCACGUGAACAAUACUCCAGUAUUCGUGUAGCGUCAUGAUUUGAGCUUAUCAUGUGGUUCAUUGUUGCUAAUGCAUUCUGACAGAAUCAGUUCUCUGAUCUCAGCUUUAGCAUAAACUUCUUUCCAGCUUGCAUUCUGGAACUGCAUCUUCGCUGUCAGUAGCAACCAUGCUUAACGCUUCUUGCUACGGCGACAUUUUCAACCUCUUCAUGCAUGGCUUAUGUCCUCAUUCCGCGUUGCCCGGUCUUUCAAAUUGCUCUCUUAAGUUGACGUCGAAUUCUGCAGAUGCCCGGUCUUUCAGAGACCAACCUGCUAACAACAACAUUUGAAUAGUCUGAAGAACACAAGGACCUUCCAAUAUAAGGUAGGAAGCACCAAAUUCCUUCUUAAUCAUGGUUUAGCAUUUGUAUCACUCUCAGCCGGUUCAUUUUGCACAAUCUAUCGCUUUCUGCAAAGACUCCUGCACAUUAUUCAGAUGCCCAGUCUUUCAGAAAUGAGAUCUGACAGUAUUACCAAAUCUGAAGAGCAUUAUCUGAAUUCUGAAGAACGAAACGAUCGAAAACGAACCCUUGUGAUUUGUCAAGUGUGAGUGCACUCCCUACCAACAACUUGUGAUCUCCAUUUCUUGCAGCUGCUGCUGCCGCGAAGAAGGAAGAACAUGUUCUGUCCACACAAAAAAAUCAGUCAAUCUUUUCAGGCAACGGGCACUUGCAUAGAUGCUUUGCCGCAGAAAAUGGUAGCGAAUGAUGAGAUCGUGCGGGUCGUCCGUCAACUGGAGAGCCUCCUCAAAACCGGAUUCGCAGCGACGCAAAACGUUUUUGCCGAAUCCUGUUCUGUCCCCUCGCCGAGAAUGUGCACGGCCAUUGAUGAUAGAACUUGCUUUCUUCAGACCUCUUUUUUGCAGGCCAAAGCAAAGCAGUUCUAGAAACCUCAGUCUGGCUUUGGCUCGUAGGAUCCAAGUCCAAUACAUCCCUCCGAUUCCAGAUUUCCAGUGGCAGGCAGCCUUGGCCCUGAUCGUGAUCUAUCAUGCAGGUGGCCAUUUGUCAUGUGCUUUAUUUGUAAGGAGCCUCGCUCCCGGGGUUACAAUGUUACAUGGGUUCUGACUCGCCCCUUCUUGGAUUGGUUGGCAUUGCUGAUCAAGGCAAAAACACUGAUCAAAUAUCAAUUGAACCAAGGUAGAAAAUUACCCUUCAUGAUGGAUUGAUGUGAGGCGCACUUUGGAGAAGCAAGUGGGUGUCUGAUGCAAGUGCAACAAGGUGAGCUAACUCGUUACUGGCUACCACAAAUUCUUAUCCCCAAAUGCGCCAAUCAUGUAUGAUAUGUCGCCAAUUUGGUACUCCGAUGGUUACAUUCUCCCAUAGAAAAAUGGCUACAUUCUGAUUCUUUGAAUAUAUCCUAUUAAGAAGCGGUUGUGUAGGCACCACCUUGCCUGUCUUGGAAAAGAAGGUCCAUCCCACGAUCCAUAUGCUUGUCCUCAUCAGGGGUUAGACUCACUAGACCCAUGCUGGAAAUUCACGUUGGCCAGGACAAUAAAAAAUACUCACUUGUGGCUGAGGUGCAAUCUACCACUGAAUAUUUAUUCCAAUUCCUCUCUAGAUGCAGGUUUGGUCGGUGUAGGCCAGGGGUUGACCAGGGGAUUACCCACUAAAUUUGGAGCUAAUCAUUUUGCUUCCAUCAUGAGAUUUGGGUUGGGAAUUUCAUGCUCCACGAUCUAAGGCGCAAAAGUGAAUUUGUGCACAUCUUGGUGAGCAUGGUGUUGAUUUAAGACAACUAUUAUAAUAAGACUCUCUGCAUUGCAGUUGUGCAAAAUGGUGACAACAUGGUACACAGGUGAGAUGAGAAAAAGAAGGGCACAAGGUUAACCUUAUUUACCACUGCCAAACUAACUCUCGGUUGCAUUUUGUUGGAACUGAGUACCAAGGUUAGCUCCAAGAAUUACAAAUCACAGUCCCUUCAGCUAAUACAAAUUGCAAUCAGAUACAGUAUCUAGCUCAAGCAUUUAUCUUUCUACUCUUACUUACAGGCCACUUCAAAAAGGCCUAUCAAUCCGUAUCUUCAGCGCAUCUAAUCUGAUUGGCGUUUCAAAUCAAUCAUGUAAUCCUUUCAGCACAUUGUACACGACCAAAUUUCCAAUCAAUCCAUCUGGCUCAUAAUGACCGCUAACGGACCGAAGAAAAAAGAUACCGGUAUGUCAUUAUAUAGCCAAAGCACAUGUCAACAGUCAACUGCUGUUGUUUCAGAUAGCGCCAACGAUCGACACGUGGAUCGGCGCCACUAUCGGCAGAUUAGUGAUGCACACCCUCAAUAUAGUAUCCUUUCAACAUGACGAUUUGACAGUAGUUUGGAGAGUGAUGAUGACCAUAAUGGGAGAGCACGCCCACUGUGACCGGACCGGUACAAAUGAUGAUUAUCGUCCUGCUCCCACAAUGCCUGGACCGAUCAAUCCAAAGUUCUUGACAUCAGCUAGCUCAAGAGAUACAGAGGUGCCAUGCAUAGCAGUCCCAUCUGUUUACAAACAGUCACUAGCAAAAUAGUUUGUACCUGAAGCAGUUUCCGGUGGCGGCUGAAGAUCUGCAUUAGCAUCCACUAACUAAUUAGCUCGGUACGAGCUUGCUGUGCAAAUUUCUGACGCAUUUCUUUCAUGUGCUUGAAUUAGUUAGUUGGAUCGAGGCAGGCACUGACUAAAGCAAAACCAAAGUGGUGGUAGCAAAGGUGUGGUGUGGAUCGCAUCCAUCCAUCGAUUGAUCCUUCACCGAUUGCACCCAACUCGACGUUGUCGGCAAUGCAAGUGCAUGCAUGGAUCCGGCCACUAAUUUUCCAGCAAGUUCGUUCGAUGCAUGGAACUACUGCUAAUCUGGGUUAAAAAAACAAAAGUAGUGAUGCUCAUAUAUGGAGCAAGGUAGUGGUUAGCUUAACUUGCAGUGAAUGCUAUAAAUGGGCACAUGUCAAAUUUGCAGUAUGAUUUGUGGAUGAAAUCAUUCGGUUCGGUCAGAGAUAAAAUGGAUGUGAUUAGCUGCGAGCUGAGUGACAGACGAAUGGCACAUCAAGUAGUUAUCGUCUGACCUUGAAAAUGAUUGUGCUCCACCGCUGCACUUGGUCGAUCAGUGCGUGCAUUGUUCAUCCUUUUUCGUCAAAUCUCAGUUCUUCCGGCAGUGUAUCGUUGGCUGUUGUCAACUUUCUUUUCGGUCGACAAUGUGUACUGGAGCAAAUCCCAUCCAUGAUCCAACUUUGACUGGUUUCAAAUUUCAAACACUGAGGACGACCACUAAUAGCUACUUUUUAGGUUUAUGCAUAGCUAUACAAUUUUUCAGAUAAUUCUUACAAGUUGCUGCAUUUUUCUGCGCUGCAAACAUGACGGUAUUAACGUUUUAAUUACAAAGCUAGAGGCGUCCACUUGCAUUUGUGAUCAAAAUAAGACCAGAACUUCUUUUUGCAAAAAUAAAUAGCCUUUCUAGCCACAUAGCCUUCAUGAUUAGAGAGAUUCAAGGAGUAACAAGAAGUGGUGUAAGCAAUAUGACAACUCAAAGUGAGAGAAAUAAAAGAUAGAAGGCAAAGAAUCACGAUGGUGUAUGACAAUAUGACACACUAUGACACUAGAUAGUAGAUCAAUCCAUUCGAUUGCAAAGCAAGACAAAGCUUGCAAAAUUUGAAGUAAUUAACUAUGAAUAAUGCCAAAUAUGAAUUGAUGAAUGAAGGUUAUAUUAUCUUUUAUAUUCAUCAAAAACUGCUAUAUUUAAAACAUUCAGAUUUUUUUAGGCAGCUUAAAAGCAUAUUAUAAUUUAUUUAUAUAUUUCAUUCACAGUUCUUGCUACAGUUACCCACUGCAAAUUAGUAUCCUUUUUACAAAUACUAUUGCAGCUAUUUAUCAACCAAAACUAGUUACUAUUUGUCGAUUAAAAGGAAAACACACGAGAUUAGAUCAUCCAGUUUACUGCAAAUCAUUUUUUUUUUGCUACUGAUGAUACACCCAUUACGAAAAAUCGGUGUCGCAUCAAUGGAAUCCACACAUAAUAUUCGGGUGGAAGUACUUGUCGCACAACGGUAAAAUCGACAUUUUCCCCCCUCGGAUAUGGGCUACCUAGGCGAUAUAUUCAGGAAUAAGAAUGUGUUGAUUAGAAUGCACAAUCACUUCUGAUUGACCCUUCAUGUUAUAGUAGCCUUCUAGGUUUACCCACCAACUCUUUUUUUUAGAAAAAAAAGGUUUACCCACUAACUCAAUAUGAUAAUCGGCUCUAAAAGUGGCGUCAUCUUGAUCAAAACUAAGAAAAUUGACCAAGCUAUGGGCUUCAAAAUCCGACUUAUUAUACUCAGACCCACUUGAGGAAACGAAAAUUUUAAUAAAAGAGAGAAAGUAUCCUACCGUAUUUGGUUCUCUAGAGACAGACAGAUUCUUGAAAAAGCUAUCUUCUAGAGAUUGUCAAUUAGAGAUGGAGGUUGGCCAAUCUUUAAGCUCGGUUACAGUUGUUACAAGACGUGAAAAAAAAGAAAAGAAACCACCCCCUUUGUUUGAAACAUAGCAUAUGCCUUGUUCAUUAAUACAAAGAUAUAUUAUUUCAUACUCCAAUAUAGAAUGUAUCUAUCAAGAUUUAAUCUAAUAUUUUGUAAAUUGUAGGAUAUAGCUUUAAUAUCAUUAGAUUCAUAUUUAGAAGCAUUUCUAUAGUGUUGACCUUAUGGACACAUACCAUCUCAUAUGGAGUAGGAGAUAUUAACUGUUACUAGCGUUAGAGACCAGGUCAGUCAAAUCGAACCUUACAUUUGUAAAACGGAAGAAGUAUUUUUAAAAGUAACUUCGCAUGCUUGCAUGCAUACAUUAUGAAACGGACCCGAAUUCCUAUUUCUGAGAAUUCAAGCCUACGCACCUCGAUGAUAAUUUUAGGAAGGCUAUCACGUGCGAAUCCCUAUCUCAGGUAGUACAAACCCAUACCAACAUAAAAACAGAGAGAGAAACAGAAUACAAACAUCAUAGGUAACAUGAGUACGAGUACAUCUCAGCGGCACAUGUCGGUACAAGUCCAUCAGGACUGAAUCAAGAAAGGUAAAAUAUCUACGCAGCGGAAACAUAAGCUAUGGCGAACUCCAUCUCCAGAGGCAACUCGAGCGAAGAAUGGUCUCUAGUCUUCCCAACCGUUGUUGUCGAAGUCGUAGUCGGGCUCCGACCCUGAAAAGCCACAAUCUACCUGAGAAGCAGGUAGGCCAUGUCAACUCCCAAAAGCAGCAGAGCCAAGGAAACAGGGGAAAUAUACUAUAUGCAUGGAUAAACCUAUAUAUGGUUGUAGAGGUUUAUGCAGCAACUGCAGCAGCAAUCAAGGAAGCAACUAUGCAACAUCAUCUCCGAGGUCAACACCUCAAACAAGGAAGUCGCCACAAAUCACCGGAUCCUUUACCCAAGGGUCCAGCACCCAAACACACUAGGCAAUGUGAGAACUCCCUCCCCUCACAUCUCAAUGGCAAACGCCAGCCUAUCUCAAAAAGGGGAAAGGUGGAAGUACAAGAGAAGUCUAGUAAGAAGUAGCGGUAGUCAACAACACUGUCCAUAACCAGUGGACACGGACUAUAGCUAUAGCUUUAUACACUCUGCAGAGGUUCUAUAACUGUAUCCGCACGGAUGGAGCUUGAACGGUAGUGAACCGUCCAAACCCCGCCUAGCAGCCGGAGCCCUAGUAAGUGGAUAGCUCUCUCCUGUUUCCUCGAUUCUGGAACCGUCCUCAGCUGUAGGGCACACCGUCACCAAUGAGGACCUCGAAGCUAUGAAACCUACCCACACUAGGGUGCAGUCUAGUUAGAGCAAGUCAACGCCUCGAACUCCUUACACGAUCCUCCAAUCCACCUACAAGCAGAGCACUAUCCACUACUAGUCUUGGACCGAACCCCGCCCAUAACGUAAGCGAGUGGUAAGUAUGAAAAGUAGCUGAUGUGACUGGUGGUAAAUUGACUCGGUCCUUAAGCGGCUGAGAGCGAGCACUCAGCCAACAAGUAUGUGCCGAAGCACUAGCAAUGUACAAGUACGCCACCUGCUCCUUAGUAACAAAUAAGGUACCCACCACAGGUAUGGGGUAUAGAGAGAGUCCAGAAAGCUCUCUCUUGGCAAGGGACUCCUUAGUACCAAUCAUGGCUCGCUCCCGCCAAGAACACAUCAAGGAGUCACACUCACCCAAAACACACGCGAGAGUAUUCAAGGAAUCCCAUCACCAAAUCCAUGGCAAAUACGCAUCCAUAACUCAAAAGCAUAUAAAUGGAUAAAUGAGCGUUGGACUAGCUAGGGGUCCGUAGUUAGUCCACAAAAGUAGGUAACCAAGAAAAACAGGAUUAAACAAUUAUCAAGGCAUGACUAAAAAUAUUAGCUAUGCAAUCCAUCAUCACCAAGCAAUAUAAGUAAAGCACUAGCAAAUAAGCAUGCAUAGGAUCUAUAUAAUUGGGAGUGACAUGAUACUUUGUCCGUAGUCGAUUGGGUCCUCCUCGGUGUAGUCGAGGUCUUGAAGGUCUUCCUGGUCGUAGCUCGGAUUUGAACAGAACAAGAUACGACGAAACGUAAAUUAAACGGCAUUACAUCUAGGCAAAAACUCCAAUAAAGCCAAAUUUAGAAGAUCCAAAUAAUACCAAACUAGCAACAAACAACACGGGCUCGAUUUUACGAAUUUAAUGCAACUACUUUCGGAGUUAAAAUAAAUUAGUUAUGAAUUUUUAAAGAUUAUUAAAGGAUUUAUUUAAUUAUUUAGUAAUUUCAAACAAAUAUUUAUUAAAUGUGACAUGUGUCAGCUUGUGGUUGCUCCACGUGGCACCCCCUCGGGUUGCCACGUGUCCUGCUAACGUCAGCGUUGACCUGAUCAACGGUCAACAUGGGCCCAUCGGGUUAGUGGGCCCACAAGUGGGCCCGACCAGCCACAUCAGCGCCACGUGGUGCCUACGUGGCAGCCACGUGGGCGGCGGCAUGGCGUGCGGGCAACGGUGAGUGCACGUAGGCGAGCGCGGCACAGCACAGCGGGCACACACGGGCGCGGCGUGGCAGGUGCAAGCGAGCACUGGCGCGGCACGGUUGGGCAUCCCUUGGUCGCGGCAUGGCCGCGGCGGCCCACGGCGAGCGGCGGCAUCUACGGCUACGCUAAGGCUACGACACAACUAACAGCAAGGGGAAAGGAGGAGGGAUGCGAGGCUCACGGCAAGGCGGGUGAAGAGGAAUAGCGUCGGCGGCAGCUUCCUUCGGCGGCGGCGUGGCGGCUCCCGCGGGCAGACUCCUCCUCUUGCUCUUCUUCUCUUCCUCUUCUCCUCCUUCUCCUUCAUCUCCUUCUUCUCCUUCAUCUCCUUCUUCUCUUCUUCCCCGCGACCCUCCUCUCACUUUCUCUCUCGGCGAUGGCGGCGCAAGGGGAGAACCCUGGGCGGCUAGGGAUAGUGAGGCUGGAGGGAGGGGCGCGGCUCCUUUUAUAGCGGCGAAGAGGCGGUACAAGGGCACAAUUGUGCUCCGCCAUCCAUCCUCGGUGUCCGCGCCUGAUGAUGGCGUGGCACCAAUCCGGCAACUCUGCGGCUAGGAUUAAGGCGCGGGCGGCGGGCGCUCCGGGGGCACGGAGGGGAAUUCCCCUCUGCGGAAGCCUCUAGAAGGGGACACGGAGGCGCCUCCGGUCGGGGGUGUGCGCCAGCGCGACGCCCUUGCCCGCCCGUGAGCGUGCACGUACCGGGCGCGUGACUCGUACGGGCGGGAGGUGGAAGAAAGGCGCACAGGGCACACCGACAGGUGGGGCCGGUUGGUCAGCGAGAGAAGGCACGGGCGAGCGCGCAGAACGCUUGCGCGAGCGUGAGCUGGGCCGAGCAAGCGACUUGGGUGGUGGCGGCCUGCUGGGCAGCGCAGAGCGGUGCGGGCGAGCUAGGCCGAGCAAGCACGAUGCGGGCGAGCUGCGGGGCGGCGCGUGGUUGAGAGGAGAGGUAGGUUAGUGGGCCAGACCGGCUCAGCUUAGCGGGCCGGUCCAGUGGGCUGGGUUAGUUUAGGUUAGUUUUUAUUUAGUUUUAGAUUUAGAGUUAGAUUUAGAUUUUAGUUUGAAUUUUGAAUUGAAUUCAAAAUUCAAACAACACUUGAACAUGAACUCCAAAUAAAAUCCAAAAGAUCCAAAUCAAGCCACACAAAUUUUUAAAUGGGAUUUAGGGAUGAGAGAGAAAUUAUCUAGUUUUUCAAAUGAGCACACAAUUCGAACAAAAAGUUUUAAAUUUUUGCAAAAUUCACUCAUACAAAUAUUACAAAUUUUUUUUUGAAUAUUACACAUUAAAUAUAGUAAGUCUUUGAAACGGCGACAAUGAUGUGCUGUGCAGUCAUAUUCAAUUGUUUCUUUACUGCAUCCAAGAUGGAAAUACACGCACCUUGUAAUUUCAAACGAGGAGAACACCAGAUUCAGGCAACCACACUCAUUUGCGUAGUUCAAGCUGUUUGCUCGGCCAGACAAGCCCCAUUAAAACCUUUGUCCUCGGACACCCGAGACGCUGGAAACAAACAGCUGGAUACCUGCCUGCGCGUAUAAACAGCUCAGUUUGCUUGCUUCCAUGAUCACAGUGGCAAGAGAUCCAAGCGCACCACCGCGGCGCGGGCUGCAGGAUCCAGCCAUCCGGAUUGCAUCAUUGCUGAUGGCUGGCAUUUGGACCUCUGACUUCUGGACACGAACUGAACCGGCAAACAAUUGUAGCUGACAACCGGUGGUCUGCUACGGUUUGUAGCUGGCCUUGAAUGCAAUGCAGGCGUUACACAUAAUAGUCUCGUUCAUCUGCCUGCGAGGGACGCUAUACAUAGUAUAGUUCAGGUCAUGGCAGCACAUCUAGUGGACUCCGUGAGGAACAUAAGAACUUGCCAAAGAAAUCGAGAGAUAUUGUUGAAUACUACGCACUUAGCCUCGUAGUGUCAUGUAUAGAUUUCAAAAUAAGUUCCUUUUUAUGAGUAGAUCUACUGUAAUCUUCGCAACCCUUUUGCUCUGACUUGUUAAUUUUCGCUGAUACGACGUGGUACCAGACCCGCCGCUUUUGGUUCUGAGCCAGCCAGCGAUCUCGAUCUCCCCCAUUAGUGCUGCCUCUUUACUGAACAAUUGCCAGAUUAACAAAUUCCCUCCAUGGAUUCGCCUGCGUGGCCUUGCCUUUGCUCGAUUCGAUUCGUGCCCAUCGUCGUCCAUCUCCUCAACAGCGACCACCCGGUGCCGCAAUUCCGGCCGCUUUCCUAUUCCCCCGGCCGCUCCCGUGCUGCCAUGUGGGCCCCACAGGGGGGGGCGCUUAUAUAAAGGCCCUCCUCCCUUCUCGGCCUCUCAGACCACCAAACCAAGAACUAGAUAGAUCAUAGAUAGAUCAAACAAAACAACCCUCUCCUCUCUUUCUCUCUUGACGACUGGCAAAUAUAGGAAUCGAGAUUGACUUCAUGGAGAAAAGCUUGAGGGUUGGUUCCAUGGAGGACCGCCGGGAAUGGGUACACGACUCCUCCGUCGAUCACCGCGGGAGGCCGCCCUCCCGUGACGCCACCGGCUCGUGGAAGGCCGCCAUGUUCAUCAUCAGUGAGUACCCACUGUCCAGAGAUCAUCGAGCUCCAUGCACCGACCAGCUGUUUUUCUGUCGUCGGCGUGUUCUUCGGGUCGAUUAAUUCGUUCCUAGCUUUUCCUCUCCCAAAAUAGGUGAUCACUGAUUUCGUCUUCCUCCUUUGGUCGAUUGGCAUGCAGUGAUCGAGUUCAGCGAGAGGCUCAGCUAUUUCGGGAUCGCGACGAGCCUGAUGCUCUACCUCACCAAGGUGCUGCAGGAGGAGAUGAAGGUCGCUGCCAAGAACGUCAACUACUGGACCAGCGUCACCACGCUCAUGCCCUUGCUCGGCGGCUUCCUCGCCGACGGAUACCUCGGCAGGUUCUCCACCGUCGUCUGCUCCACCGUCGUCUACCUCCUGGUGAGCUGCUGAUGUCCCUUUGAAUUCUUCUCGCAUGCAUGCAUUGAAUCUCUCAGCUCCGUCCGUUGACGCGUGUUUUCUUGUCGUCGUUCCAGGGCCUGAUGGUCCUGGCCACGGCGCAGCUGUCGCCGAGGCUGACGCCCAACCACUCGCUGCGGCUCCACGAGACGCUCUUCUUCGUCGGGAUAUACCUGGUGUCCGUCGGCACCGGCGGGCACAAGCCGGCGCUAGAGAGCUUCGGCGCCGACCAGUUCGACGAGAGCCACGCGGCGGAGCGGGUCCAGAAGAUGUCCUUCUUCAACUGGUGGAACUGCGCGCUCUGCUCCGGCGUCCUGCUCGGCGUCACCGUCAUCGUCUACGCGCAGGACCGCAUCGGCUGGGGCGCCGCCAGCGUCGUGCUCGCCGCCGUCAUGGCCGCCUCGCUCGUCGUCUUCCUCGCCGGCUGGAGGUUCUACCGCUACAGGGUGCCGGAGGGCAGCCCGCUGACGCCGCUGCUCCAGGUCGUCGUCGCCGCCGUCAGGAAGAGGCGCCUCGCGCUGCCGGCCGACGCCGGCGAGCUGUACGAGGUCAAGCCGCAGAAUAUCAAGAAGAGGCUGCUUUGCCACACCCACCAGCUCCGGUAAGAACUGGCGUUGCUUUCCUUUCCUUUCGCCGGCCAUUAAAGUGGUCGAUCGUGAGGUGCAAUUGCUGGCUACAAUUGUUGCAACCGUCGCUAGUGACCAGUGAUUGCGAUACGAGUUUAUCCAAUUCUGCUUCUUUCGGAUGAACAAAUCCGGAGCAAAUCUUUGAAAAGCAAAAGGGAACACAGAAACCCAGCAUUACAUUUACGAUGAAAUGUUGAGUGUGACGCAUGUGGUACGUGACGUACGUGCAGGUUCCUGGACAAGGCGGCCAUAGUGGAGCACGACGGCGGCGAGGACGCGGCCGGGCCGUGGCGGCUCGCGACGGUGACGCAGGUGGAGGAGACGAAGCUGGUGCUUGCCAUGGUGCCCAUCUGGGUGGCGACGCUGCCCUUCGGCAUGGCGGCGGCGCAGGUGUCCACCUUCUUCAUCAAGCAGGGCAGCAUGAUGGACCGGCGCAUGGGCCCGCACUUCGUUCUCCCGCCGGCGUCCAUCUUCGCGCUGUCCGCCAUCAGCAUGAUCGCCACCGUCGCGGUCUACGACAAGGUGCUGGUGCCGUUCCUGCGGCGCGCCACGGGCGGCGAGCGCGGGAUCAGCAUCCUGCGGCGCGUGGGCAUCGGCAUGGUGCUCGCCGUGGUGGCGCUCGCCGUGGCGGCCGUGGUCGAGCGUCGGCGCCUGCUGUCCCCCUCGCCGGCGUCCAUGUCGGUGUUCUGGCUGCUGCCGCAGUUCGUGCUGAUCGGUGUAGGCGACGGGUUCGCGCUGGUGGGGCUCCAGGAGUACUUCUACGACCAGGUCCCCGACAACAUGCGCAGCCUGGGCAUCGGGCUGUACCUGAGCGUGAUCGGCGCCGGGAGCUUCCUGAGCAGCCUGGUGAUCACGGCGGCGGACAGGGCGAGCUCCCGCGGCGGCCACGCCAGCUGGUUCGCCAAGGACCUCAACCGUAGCAGGCUCGACCUCUUCUACUGGCUACUGGCAUGCAUCGGCGCUGCCAACCUGGUGUUCUACGCGUUGGUCUCCACCAAGUACUCGUACAAGACCGUCAGCGGGGCCGGCAAGGUCGGCGUCGACAAGUCCGGCGACAUCGAGUGCGCCGCCGCCGCCUAGCUGAUCGAUCGAUAGCUAGCUGGAGAUCAUUAGCGGCUGGUAAUUCGAUUUAUAAGAUGUGUAUGAUAAUGUGUACUAUGUCAUCAGUUAUCGUGUGUGUCACUCUAGCUAGGGUACAUGUCGUCUCAGUGUCACAAGGAUUUAAUUAGCUGGGAUGGAUCGUUCGUGAACUCGCGUGUCGUGGAAUGUACUUGUACAAGUGCGGUUUGGUUCGUUGUAGCGGCGAUUUACCAUGUGCGUGAGCUCGGUUAAUUCGUGACGAGGAAAUGCCAAAAAGAAAUGGAAUGGCAAACGGGCGCGGCGGGCCGGGGAACUCGUCUCCGACUCCGGCGACGGCGGAAUCGCGAAGGUUAGGGGCGACGUUCCAAUAUGACGAUAGAUGGGGAGAAGUUGGGCUGAAACGCUCGGCCCGAAAUUAUUUAGUUACCGGGUUGUUGGUCGCCACGUUGUGUUUGGUUGAGUUGGGCUGAAAACAAAUUGAUUGGCUCAGUUGGACCGGGCUGAAAAAAGGAGUUGGACGGAGAUCGAUCUAAACGACGCUAGCAAAUCGAGUACUAGUUAUAUUUUCAAAUAGCGCGUUUGGUUGUGCUGUGGUUUUUGUAAAAGUAGGUGGGAGCUGUGAGCUGUAAAAAAGUAGCUGUGAGCUAUGGGCUGUGGAAAAGUCGUUUGGUGGAACCGUUGUAGUUUUUGGAAACACUUACAAGCGAACCCUACAUGUCAUUAAUAGUCCACCCCACUCAACCCUCUCCCUCUCUCAUUGACAAGCGGAUCCCGCUCGUCAGCCCCUUCUUCCUCCUCCUCCUGUUGCCAGUACCAAAGGAGCUCGUGCGGCUGCUCGCGGGGGAGCAGGUGUCGCCCCUGCUGGGAGCUCGCGCCAUGCCGCCACUAGCUGCUCGCUAAAGGAGGAGAGAGGGAGGCGGAGAGGGCUGUUGUCGGCGUGGUCGGUCGGCCGCCGCGUCGGACCCCGCCACCACCACUGGUAGCCCGCGGAAGGAGAGAGGAGCUCGUGGCUAAAGAAAAACAUCAGGAGAGAGGGGAAAGAAACGAAAUAGUAUGCAUGUAACGAGUGGCAGUGGAUAAUUUCUUCCAACUUGAGAAAAUCAAAAAUCCAAGGAAGCACCUCCCUAACUACUGCCAGAAAUGAACUAACUAAAAACUGCCAGUUUUUGGACGGAAAUAGCUGAACCUUUUCGACCCUUUAAUUGGAUUUUAACUUUUGGAAAACAAAAGCAGCCCUCAAAAGUCCAACCAAAAGGAGGCUUAACCAAUUACAUGCGCCACCAAGACAGAGAGACCACUAGCACUAGCACUAGCACUACCACUUUGUUCCUCGGCAAAAGCCGAGGUGGCUGGCAUUGGCUGCGGUCGACGGGUCAAGUAAGAAAAUGAAAAGAUUCUUAUCAGAUCCGGAGAUUCUUAACCAUCUGGCUGUGCGCAUGGUUAAGCAAACAGAAGAAACAAAACCAAGAUCGUGAAACAAAACCAAGAUCUGGCUGUGCGCAUGAUUACUUUAAAUAAUUUUGACUUGGCCUGAACCAAGAUGAUGAGCACAGUCAGAUCUUGACCUGAACCAAGAUGAUGAGCACAGUCAAAAUUAUUUAAAGUAAUUAUCCUGCAGUAUUUAACUCUGGGAAAAGGUAAAGCAAACCUGUGUGAGUUCUGCGUCGCGGCGAGCAGUGGAGGAAGGAGCCGUGGCCGUCUCGCCGGAGCGCGGCCACGUCCUUCGAUCUUCUGUGGCCACGAUCACACACACGCUGCUCCGACUAAGCAGCAAGGCAGGCUCAAGGCUGUGCUCCAGUGGCACAGAAGAUCCGGGCAGGGUUUGUUGUUGCACGAUGAAAGUGAGCCCAUGAAAGUGGCGCUUUCUUCCCUCGAUCUUAUCUCUGGUGACUCAUUUCCGCAUGUGACUCUCGGGACUUAUCAGUUUGUAUCUUCGGUCUUUUGGCAUAUACCCCCUCGUGCUAUCAAGUGUAUUAUUUCCUCAUGGGGGCACCUAUGUUAUCUACAAAUCGAAAAUGAGCCCGUAUUUUACUUACCCUAGUGCAAACCAUUUGUGCAGCUUUUUAUUAACGAAAAAGCUAUCGAGUGCAAAGCUAUCUUUACACUCCUAUAGAUCCUGUACACUAUAACGAGACGAUGUUCGGCUUCUCUACAUCUCCUACUCAUCAUUCUAAUAGGUUAGGUGUUAAGAUUUGGUAUCCUUUGAGCUUAGGAGAUAUCUAAUACAGUAGAUUGAAACUAGCAGCAUUAGAACCAUCACAUGUGGGCGGAACAUUGUUGUGGUCAAGGUGGGCUAUGCCUCCCUUGCAAUUUAGAAUUGCUAGGAGUACUUCUUAACAAAUGACGAUAUUUUAGUUUAUAUAUGGCCACCCAUCUUCUCUCUAAGCGUAUUUAGCCAUCCCCUCUAAAAGUGAAUUCAAGCUCCGCCGCUACAUCAAUAGUAGACAAUUCAUGGCAACAUUAGAAGGGAAAGCGACAACUUGGUUAGCCAGAUUAGGAAGAGUGUAGUGAUCCAUCAUCACUCGAAAAAUAAAAAAAGACAAAAGGACCGGUGGUGAUAAGCACCGGGUGAAAACAACACGACUCGAAAUAUGAAACCAUCAUCCUAGACUCCCAACAAAUGGAGUGCAUCAAAUAAGCCCUUUUUCUUUUUUAUCGCAAAAUUUUUUCUAUAGUCCUUUAUAAUUUCGCACUCUAAUUUCAUCACAGUAGAGGGGUUGUUCUUCAAGUUGCCUGUUUGUCUAUUGCCACUUGCUCGCUUACCAGUGGGCGAGCAGACACGGCACACGGGCUUGGUGCCUUGUCCCCGCGGAGGGGUCCCCGGGUUUCCUUCGCCUUCUAUAAAGAAGGCUUCUAUUAGCCGCGUACAGAUAGAUAAGCAGCAACUCCAGUCCAACCAAAGCACAAACGGAAGAGGAGAGGAAAGACACCCGUUUCUAACAAGACCAAUUCUUGCAAGGAGAAGCAGACAUGAGAACCCAAGUGUUCUUCCUCACAUUCGCCUUGCUCGCAGUGCUCGCGCAAUCCAGCAACAGGCACCACCACCACUCCCAUGUUCAGAGCAAAGGUACCGGAUCUUCUCUUUGUUCUUGCCCAAAAGUCGCUUCUUUUCUUGACAUCGGAAUCCAAGAAUUGCUUGACCUAUUUAAUUUUCUAGUUUCCAAAUAACAAUCAAAGAGUUCGAGAUUCGUUUGAUUUUUCUUGUUACAAGUAUGCAUCAGUUUGGUUUACUCGGUUUGGAAUCUGUCUCUGGUUUCAGGGCAUGGAGGGGGAGGAGGAGGAGGAGGAGAGCUAGCGAGCCGGGGGAAGGCGGCGGCGCGGGCAUGGCCGUGCUGCGACAACUGCGGCGGGUGCACCAAGUCGAUCCCGCCGCUGUGCCAGUGCCUGGACGCGGUGCCCCGCGGGUGCCACCCUGCCUGCCAGGACUGCAUCAAGUCCAGCCUCAGCGCCGAUCCGCCGGUGUACCAGUGCAUGGACCGCGUCCCCAACUUCUGCGACCGCCGCUGCACCGCCGCCGCCGCCCACUGACCGGCCGGCUGAGCGAACGACUGAUUGCUGUGGAUUAUAGAUUUUUGUGUGUAGAGAGAGAGAGAGACGAGGAAUCUGUUCGUCUGAUGAGCAACCAACCAAACCAAUCUUGGGAUUUUUUUUCUCCUUUUGUUUUUUUGUCUUUUGUCUUGACACUGCUCUUUGCCGGCUACUACUGCUUGGUUGACUGUUCUUGGUUGCGACUUGCGAGGAGAUAAGCACGGUGAAUCACCGGAAUUUGGAAAAAAAAAUUGCUUUCCUUGCUGGUUUUUUAGCUUGGUCACGCCGACCCUGCCUCGGAUAAUUGAGGUCCACGCCACACGAGCUUGGCCGAUUUUUCGUCUGGACAUUUUUGGGAACACAGAUGCUGCCUCAGUGCCUCUCUGUCAGGGAUGCAGGAUGAUGGACCUGGACGCUAAUCCGGUCUCCGGCGCGACGCGAGGCCGAGGACGAGUUCCAGGGUCAGAUUCACCCUCCAAAACGACAGGGGUGUUCUCACUGAUCCGAUGACAACAGGCACUGCAAGUGGAGACUCCUACCCCGCACUCGCACUCGCACUCGCAGAUGCGCAUUUUCCGCGAGGAUAUGCGGCAAACAUGCAGCGUCUGAAUUUGGAGCCUAGUUUCUUUCAAAAAAAAUAAAGAAUUUGGAGCCGAGGUGGGGAUAAAGGCAGGGAAUAUGUCAUCCAAGGAAGAAACUAGCUGCGGUGUAUCUGCAUACGUGUUCUUGGUCGAGAAAACUAUGCUGCUACUUGCAACGUGGUAGCAUUGGACACUACAAAUUCAUGAAAAAUCAACAAACUGGUGGAAUUUUCUUUUUUCCAGAGUAGCACGAAAAUCAACAAACGUUCUCUUUUGAAGUCAGGAGAAGGAUUCACUAGUGCACAGCUCUGGUGGAGUUUUCUUUUUUCCAGAGUAGCACGAAAAUCAACAAACGUUCUCUUUUUGAAGUCAGGAGAAGGAUUCACUAGUGCACAGCUCUAAUUUUUUUUGAGGAAAUUGCAGAGCUCUAACAAAGUUUAGAUUAGUACGGAGCUCUAUUUUUUUAGGAAAUUGCAGAGCUCCAAUAAAGUUUAGAUUAGUACAUAGCUCUAUUUUUUUUAGGAAAUUGCAGAGCUCUAAUAAAGUUUAGAUUGAGCAACUCCAAGAGUCUAAAAAAAAUCUCCUCCAAAACUAUCUAUUGGGGACUCUACUAAAAAUUUAUUCUCUUAAAAUCAUGUCAUCCCACAAUAAUAAACUUCCCAAUACUUCAAAACUGACCACGUCAGCACCAAGUAGCUUCAAAAUGCGCCGCCCAUGCUCCGGCCGUGCCGCGUCGGCGGCGGCCUCCGCUCGCUGCUGCUUCUGCUCCUCUUCACCGUGCUCCUCUCCGUCGCCACCUUCUCCCUCCACUCCCCCGACCCCCUCGUCGUCAUCGACGCGCCGCCGUGGAAGCCACAGCUAAUUCGCCCAGUACGGCGGGCCAAUCGUGGCCCUACCCGCAGCAACAUCGGGGCGCACUCCGGUCUCAGCAGCAGUAGACCGGGCACGUACCACCCGCCCGGUCCCACCCAUCGAUGCCGCACCCCGCGUGGAAGAAGUGCGGGCACGGUAGCACCCGCAUGAGCUCGUCGCCCCCGGCGGUGUAGUCGAACAGCCAGAUGUCGCAGCGCUUGCCCGCAUUCCCGCCGCCACCUUCACCUGGGCGUACGUCACGAGCGUGUUGGCACCGAGCGCGCGCUCGCUGUCGUCGUGCACCGCGCCGCCGGUAGGCUCGUAGGCGCACGAGGAGGCGGCGGCGGAUCGGAGACGCUCUUCCACUGGAAGAGCAUCCGUUGGGCAGUGCGUCCAUUGGGCAGCAACCGCGAGCGUUUCAGAGCUCUUAUACUACCUGGAGGCGCCACCGCAGCGUCUUGGAGUGAACGCCACUGCGCCGUCGAUGGAAGGGAGGCGGAGGAAUUGAUGGAGACUACGAAGGACCGGAUCGAACCCGCGCGCCGGCGAAGUCCAGUGGCGUCUCGUGGCCGCAACAACUUUUGAAGUACCACACCGUUAUGUCCUCCACCACUACCUCGAGCACGCACCGCCACUCCCCCGACGGUGUCCAUCACCCACACACGUGCACUCCCUUGACGCCGUCAUGCGGCAGAGAGCAAUUGGGCUGCUUGUCACGGAUGUUGAAGCCACAUUGCCGGAGCCGCCCGCUAGUGGACCUGAGGGACCGCACCAUGCGCUCCACGGACCCCUCCGCGAUGGGCGGCUCACAGAGCACUGUGGCGUGACCGCACCGCCGGCUCAGCCAGUAGAAGCACGUGUCGACAUGGAUCCCAGGGGACGCGGUGUUGAGGCAUCGAGACAUGCCCUGGGCGCCGAGCGUGGUCGUGGCUCAUCUCCCGGUCGCGGAGGUGAAAAACGCCACGAGGACGCGCCGGAAGCGGGUGCGGGUGAGGAUCAUGACGGUAAAGGAGACUACGAAACAGUACUAGAGCGAUCCGAGAAAAACGAUUCGAGGUGAUUGUGGAAGAACCAGUAUGCGGGGCGAUGGAGGUGCUUUUAGCGUCCAUGCAUUUUUACGUGGAGGAUGCAGGGUUGUUGGAGGUAAUUUUUUUUUGUUUUUCUCCAAAAUAAGAUUCUGGGGUAAUUUUGAAGGAGCUCCUGUAGUUGCUCUAAGUAUCAACAAGCACAAACCAGAGAACAGGCUUGUUGGGCCUGUUAUCCGAGCGGUUCUCAUAGAAGCAAUGGCCCAAAACAAGAAAAGGCCCAAAGAGGCCCAGGAGUUCUCGGCGGCAGAGCGGAGAAUCGUUCGGUUCUGUCUGCGAGUUCUUUAGUACCACCUCGGCUGCUGAAUGCGGACGCGCCGCAAGCUCCCGCUAUAAGAUGAGCGCCCCGUGCCCCGUUGCUCCAUACUUACCUGGACGGGGUCGACGGGCGAUCAAGAAGGCCCGUGGCCUAGGUCAGUGGCCCGCAUUGCACUUGGCGGGUGCGCUGGCUUACCAUCUCCCCAAGUGGGAGAGUGGACGUCAUAAUUUGUGGUAGAGGGGGUACGCGUUCGCGCGGCCCCCACCAAUUCUAACAAAUCAAAAUGUUGUCCUUAGCCCUCUGGGCUGUCUCUAGAAACAGGGGCGUUGCUGCAAUUUGUGGUAGAGGGAGUAUUUUACUCGUAUUAAAAAAAUAUUAGCAGUUUCUAGUUGUAUGGUUUGAUCUGAAUGGUUGAAAGAAAUAAAGUUGCGUUAUUUUAUUAGCACGUGCAAAGCCACGCGGCCAAGCUGACCCAGCCAUGGCGACCCAUGGCCUUCUCCCCUCGUCACUCUUCGCAUCCACCACCGCCAUUCGCGCCAUCGCAGCGCCAACCCGCACCUGCCACCGCGUACUCUCCUACGGCACCCGCCGCCGCCGCCCCCUGGCCUUCGGCCGCCGCGCGCCGGCGAUGGACGCCCUCCGCGUGACGGGAGCCGCGGAGCCGCUCCUCCGCCCCUCCGUCGGGGGACACCCCAGGCUCCGCGUAUGCCGCUCGACUUAACCCCCAAUCGGCGGCUAAACAUAGCCGUUGCGCGCCCCCUGCUAUUCUGGGGAGGAAGGCGGGGUCUGGUUGGCGGUGAAGGUCUGACGACAUGGAGGUCGAUGUGCAGGUGCGGACCCAUGCGCAGGGCGAGGGCGAUGCCGGGCGUGGCGCCGCCGCGGAGGGGGACGCGGCCUUCUCGUGGGCACCCGUCAUACUCCCGUAAGCUAUCUGUCAGCCACCUCUCGAAUUUUAGCAUUUGGAGAUUAUCUGGAGUGCGGGGUAGGUGUUGAAAUCAGAAAGGAUGCAUUUAUGGUCUGAUUCGACCUUGCACACGUUCUGAUUGAAGCAACCGAUUAAACUGUGAUCCUUCACUGCAUAGACAGUUUAAACUGUGAUGCUUCAACAUGGAGCAGUCAUAGAAUGUAUGAUGAUGCAGAGUAAUCUAGGAUCUGUUUAAUAUUUCUGUACAGACUGAUGCUUGCCAUAGCAAUGCUUCUUGGUGUAGAGUUUCGAGAAUAAACAAAUAAAAUGGGGUAAUCAGGAAGCCUAUCCAGAUUGCAGCCUUGCAGUACUGAUAGAUCACUGUUCGGAACCUAGGUUCUUGUUCCCUGCAUUGGGCGGUCUCCUUUUCGGCUAUGACAUUGGCGCAACCUCUGGAGCAACAAUCUCUGUACAAGUUAGUCCCCGUUUUGGUUUUUUCUGGAAUUUCCUCUAGCUGACAUACAGUCUCACUGCCACUGGGUGUAUUCUUCUUCAGUCUGCUGAUCUCAGUGGCACCACUUGGUUCAACCUGUCAUCUGUGCAACUAGGCCUUGUGGUAAUCCAAAUUUCUGUGAUUCCUAAGCUUUUGUAUCUCCCUUUUCAUAUCAAUUAUCAAGAUCCAAAUGAGUUUCCUUUUCCUUUUAUUCAGGCAAGUGGUUCACUUUAUGGAGCUCUUGGUGGCUCUAUUCUCGCAUACCGCAUUGCAGAUUUUCUAGGUGAACUGAAAAGCUAAACCAAUUUAAUUGUCCUUACCAUACUUGUUUGAUAAGGGGGUGAAUAACUUCUACCAUCUUGAUACAGGAAGGAGAAUAGAGUUGGUCACCGCAGCUGCAUUAUAUAUUCUUGGUGCUUUGGUCACUGGAUUUGCCCCUAAUUUUGUAGGUCUAAUCAUAGGCCGUAUCCUUUAUGGGAUUGGUAUUGGUUUGGUGAGUACCUGCAGGCACAAAUCUUCUUCCUCCCUAAGAUGAUCCCAGGUUACUGUUAUUAAAAAAAAUCUAAUUUACGAAUGCGUAUAAAAGUGAUUUUCUGGGGAUGAUAAGUACAUUCACUCAAGCUGAGUAACCUGACAAAAUUGUUAUAAACUUAUAAUGUCAUGAUGCCUCAUUAUAGUUUUCUGAUAUGCUAAUCAUUUACUGAAGUGUGAAGUAGCAAAACUAAUUGAUGUCACUGUAGCUUGAUGGUCAUGUUCUGAUAUAACUAAUUAUGGAAUAAGUAGAUAUAAAACAUUCCUGCACUUGAUUAUUCUGAUUCCUAUGAUGGGGUAGAACAUAUUCACUGGUACACCGCAAAAUCAAGCUGGUUGUAUUGCUAAGAUAUUUAAUAUAAUUUUCUUCUUUAAUUUCUGGGGUGGUUACAUUGCGUGUAGCACUUUACCCUAGCCUUUUUGACACCAACUUUCAACAUCCAUAAGCAUCAAAAUUUCCAUGGUUCCAUGCUUUCUUAAAAUGGGAUUCGUAGCAAUUGAAGAGAAUUACAGUUGCAAAGGAGCAUAUGAAUAUUUAGCUAGGGGUUUGGGAGAGUUUAUAGACCAAUGCUGUCCUAAAACAUUUGGUGUUAUGCCACUGAACCAUUAUGGUGCUAUGUGCCAGGCAAUGCAUGGUGCCCCACUUUAUAUUGCAGAGACUUCUCCUCCGCAAAUACGUGGAACAUUGAUAUCUUUGAAGGAGCUGUUUAUUGUGUUAGGAAUACUGGUAAUUAUCUAGUCUUCUGUAUAUUAUACUUUAAUAUACCCAUUUCAUGCCUGCUGACCAUUAAAUAUCUUGCGCAGUUCGGAUAUCUUGUAGGAAGUCUUGAAAUUGACAAUGUAGGAGGAUGGCGGUACAUGUUUGGUUUUGGCGCUCCGCUUGCAGCUAUCAUGGCUAUUGGUAUGUGGACUUUACCACCUUCACCAAAAUGGUUACUUCUCAGGGCAGUUCAAGGAAAGGGGUCUAUGGAGGAUAAUAAAAAGAAGGCAAUUCAAGCCCUUAGAACGUUGAGGGGCCGCUCAACAAGUGAAAAGGUUUUAGCAGAUGAUGUUGAAGAUACCAUUGUCUCUAUUAAGGCAGCCUAUGCAGGACAGGAAGGUGAAGGGAAUAUUUGGGAGGUAUUUGAAGGAGCUAGCUUGAAGGCCUUCACCAUUGGAGGAGGUCUUGUUCUGUUUCAGCAGGUAUUUUGUUCUCUUUAACCCAUGUAUUAGCAGGUUAUUCAAGUUAAAGUUCUGGCCAUGCUCUUAUCUUUUAUUUUUUUAAUUUUAUGCCCUUUUUUUAUCUAUUUUCAAAAUACGGAUGAAUGCUACUUCUUUUUGAGUGGUAGCGUAGACAUGCUGGAUUUUUGUUAUAAAGCUAAACUCUUACUUGACAGAUAACAGGCCAGCCAAGUGUUCUAUAUUAUGCAGCUUCGAUACUUCAGGUACCAAUAUUUUGCUUGGAAUUGUUUGGUGGUAUAGUUUUUAUAUAGAAAAUGUAGAAGUAGGAUACUGUUAUCUGCCCUAUACAUUUCUUGAAUUCAUACAACUCAACGUCUCCAUCUCUAAAGUAUGCCUUAUGUAGACUGCUGGGUUCUCAGCUGCAUCAGAUGCUGCCAGAGUGGCAAUUUUGAUUGGGUUGUUCAAGGUAAUGCAGAAGAUCUACUUCAAUACUUGUAUAUUAGCUGUUUCUGAAUCAUUCUGUGUAGGUAAAAAUGUAAGGAUCUUAUGCUUUCUAUUAGUUUUGAGUUUGUGUAACAAUUCUAUUCUUCGCAGUUGCUAAUGACAGGUGUUGCGGUACUGAAAGUUGAUGAUCUUGGAAGGCGCCCAUUAUUGAUAGGAGGUGUUGGUGGAAUUGUGAGUAUUUGUUCCUUCCUGUUAUUUGAUUAAGUUCUACAUAUUACAUGGAAAGCCCCAUACACACACUUGAAUUCAGUUUGGCAAUUCCACUAAACAUGAACACUGACAAUACUAAUAUUUUAGGUAAUGUAUUAGACUACAACUCUACAUUAGAAUAAGAUAAUUGGUAAACGUAGUAACUUUGUGCAUGUUCUGUCAGGUUUGCAUUCCUAUGUUCUAACUAAAUUGCCUUAUGUUAUCUGUAACCUGUAAAUGCAGGCUCUGUCACUCUUCCUUCUUGCAGCUUACUACAAGAUCCUGAACAACUCCCCCUUUGUUGCUGUUGGCGCUUUACUUCUUUAUGUUGGUGCUUACCAGGUUGGUGCGUUAUUCUGCACGGGGAGCCUGACAAGCACAGCAAUAUUUUUUUCAGGAAUCCACAAAAAGCUUAUACAUCCAUGUGUUUCAGGUCUCAUUUGGUCCAAUUAGUUGGCUAAUGGUGUCUGAGAUAUUUCCACUGCGAACAAGAGGGCGUGGGAUCAGCCUUGCGGUACUAACAAAUUUCGGCUCAAAUGCGUUGGUGACAUUCGCGUUUUCACCCUUGCAGGUAUUGCUUCUCAAGUUCUCAUAUUGCUACCUCCUGGCUCCUGACGUGCAAUUUCAUGAUGUUUAGUUUCUGCAAGUGGAGUCCCCAAAUUACAUGAACAACUAAACGUGUCAAUACCUAGUAGUUGCGACCAAUGAAUCCUUUCUCAAUAAAUACUCAUUUUUAUCCUUGUCAUAGAAAAACUGCUGUUCCCUGUUCUAUGGUCCAAAUUCAGCAUCUUAUCAGGUCCAAACUCCAGACUAGUGUUUAUUUUUGUGUGUGUAUUUCAAAACUCCACCCUCUGCCAACUGAUCUCCAACGCUGGGGUUACCGGACUAGUGUAUUUUGGCUAUCUAUUCGAAUACUGAUAUAGCCUUUUUCAUUUUGCACAAAUACGGGAACAAACAAUACGUGCAGUUCUGCCAACAAUUUAUAUUUCUCUUUUCACCACAGGAAUUCCUUGGGCCAGAGAAUAUAUUUUUCCUGUUUGGGGCCAUAGCAGUGCUCUCCCUUGUGUUUGUGAUCCUCAAUGUUCCCGAGACAAAAGGACUGAGCUUGGAGGAGAUUGAAUCUAAGAUCCUGAAGUAAAAUGGCGUGGUCAAGGCUCCACAAACCCCGGUUGUUGGCCAGAAAGAUUAAUGCCGUUUACAACAUGGAUGCUCACUCGUAGGAUCAGAGUGCGUCAGUCUCAGACUUAGUAGCGCAGUUCACGUCUAGAUGUAAAGUUUUUCCUUCUUGUAAUUAAUAUUUCUGGAUAUGCAUUUGUAGCUACCAAGUCAUAACCACGUCCCAAUUGUCCAUUGCAUCUCAUCCCAUAGCAGCAGUAAGUAAUCGACUAAUCGUCGUGUUCUUGUGACUAUGCUGUAUGUGCUGGUGAGCUGCCGCAAUGAGGACGUCCCCAGUUACCCCCACUGUUUAGUUUUUGUUUUCUGGAACUAUUUUACCCCUACUGUCUGCUGGUGUGAAACUAUGCUGCAGAAAUUUGUUUGUACUUGCUCACUGAUGCUUACCUGUUUAGGUAAGCUAUUUUUCUCUGUUUUAUUUCCCGAAAAAAAAGGAAUGCCGAUGGGGGAACGGCGGAUGUCUUGGGAAGUAGUUUGGCGAUGGAGAAAAGCCAGCAUUACUGUCACUACUGCUCACAGAUGGAUGCAUCUGCAACUAGACUUUGUUUAGCAUCAGGACUGGAGUGUCACCGAACCAAACAGACAUCACAAUCAAGGAGCUCAUGAACAGAAAUGUAAAUCUGACCGACACAUUUAAUACUUGCUUAUCCAGCAUUUGAUUACUACUUAUCCUAACGCAUCUGGCCCAUAUUGCGCGUCCUGGUGGGGUUUGGAAUCGUGCAUUAUAUACUCUUGAUUCAGGAAUAAGCACACCACGGCAACUACUCCGUAUUCAGAUUUUUUUAUAACAAAAUGCAUUAGGAAAUUGAUCCGGUAUCCAGUGUGCUAUUUUUCGUAGAAUUUUCAAGAUAUUGAGGUACGCAACGGAAAUAUGAAAACACAUGAAAAAUGACAUGUCCUGUCGUGUCAUCGUGUGUGGUCACUGAGCUGAGCUUUCAUGCGUCUCCAUAUAGCUGACUAAGCUGAGCAGUUAGGUUCUUGCUUAUCAAACACGUAAGAAUGCAAACACUAACUAUAAAGUUAUAUAUUGUUCCAGGCAGGACUGCGAGAAAGGGAGAUUCUUCAUCCAGUUCGGUUGCGAUUCAGAAGUGCGAGUAGUACAUGAUCAACAAGGAGGGAGGGAACACGUCGUGCCGACUUGAUUGCCUCCAUCGUGGUGGCGGCAGCAGCAGCAACCCGACCGACGAGUCAGUCGCCGAGUAUGAAGUGGGAGCGAGACCGACGACGAUGUGAACCUCCCGCCCAGACCACGACAAGCGGGGGAUCCCGGCGACCUCGUCUAGUCUGGGCGUGGCGGCCGGAGGCCAUGGUCAUGCCCUGGCUGUUGCAGCCUGGCCAUGGUCCAGUUGCCAAAGUCUCCCAGGUCCCAGCGCUAUUCUUUCGGUGCUACACGACGUGCACGUUCCCUCGUGACGUGACGUGGACUUGCACACCAACAAAAGUCUCGGGCUCCGCCGUGCCGGGACGACCCUCCCUCUUGCGCGCGCACACGCGCUCCACGUGCAGGCUCCACGGCUUUCUAAUCUUACCAGCCAUGCUCCACCACCAAACAAUUAAUCCUAGUCUAGAUUCCAAAAGCAAACACCCAGUGCCAUGCACCACAGUUGCACAGGUGAUAAAAAGCACUAUGACUUGUCAAGCAAACUCGUGUUACCAGGCUAGCAGCUACCGUUCCAAUCCACCCGUCGCGCGUCAAGACUACUCGUCCUUUUCAUCAAACAGCAAUGCGACGGACGGUGCGAGUGUGACAACACUCUUAGUAUGACUGACGAUUAAGGAUGGCUUGCUUAUUACUCCCUUCACGUCGUUUUGAUUUUUUUAAUUCAUAGAUAUUAUCACUACUAGGAAAAACAGCUCUAGUAUCGGUUGAGAACCCUCCUCUAGUAUCGGUUUCGCAAUCGGUACUGGCAAUUCGGUACUAGAGGGGUAGAGGGGGAUCGUUUAGUACCGGUUGAAAUAACCGGUACUAAAGGGUAUUAAAAAAAUUAAAAAAACAAAAAUCCCCCUCCCCCGCCGCCUGCCCCUCCACCCGAAGCCGCUCAACCGGCCACUCCCCGCCGCCCCGAUGGCCGCCGCCACCGUGCCUCGCCCCACCGCCACUCCUCACCUCAGGCACGAGGUGAAGGGUGAGUGGAGGGGGAGGAGAGGGGAGGCCGGGGAGGGAGGGAGGGGGCUGGUAGCCUGGAGAGGGAGAGGGAGCGGAUGGAGAGAGGAUAUGAGGAUGAGGGAGGUGGAGCGGAGGGAGCUGAGGAUAAGGACGACCACUAAGGGGGCCAGUGCUUGGCGCGCGGACGGAAAACACUUCAGUACCGGGUGGAGCCCCCACCUGGUACUGAAAGGGGGUCACGGAAGGCUCCUCGGGGACUAUCCAUUAGGUUCGGUACUAAACAUUAGUAUCGGGCUAAAAAGUGACCGGUACUAAGCCUUAGGAUGAGAGGUCAUUUUUCUAGUAGUGUAUUAUGUACCUAAACACAUACUAACCUAAAAAUGAUCUACAAUUUGGAACAGAAGGAGUAGUAUUCAGCUAGCAUUGACUAAGCAAGCAAGUUCAAUUCUUUGCUGGGACGAUGGUGUCCUAAUUUUAUUUCGAUUGGUGACGAGGUGAGUUGCCUGAUGUAUCUGGCCCAUAUGGCGUCCUGGUGGGGGGAACGGGAUCGUGCAUCGUGCCAGCCGGGAAUUAAUAGAAGAGGUCACAAACUCACAAUGAUCCCAACCAGGCGUUGGGUUAAUUAGUGGUUCUAUAGGGACUUUGGAAUCCAAAAAAUACUCCUUUUAGAAAGACAAGCAAGGAAUCAAGCGCCGCGCACCUGACCGGGAAUACGGACAGAAUUCUGCCAUUCAGCACUAGUGCUAAUCAAGCGAAGAUUUCUAACGGUGAAAUCUGACUAUCAGUGACGCUGGUGCUCCCAUUUUUCUAAAUUUAUUUUGGAAUUUAACCGUCGCUAUUCUUUCAGUGGUAGACGGCAUGCCUGUUGACAGCGAGACGAUAGUGGUGCCUUAAUUUUUCGAAGGUGCUUAUAGGAGUAAGGUUGCGUGCGUGUAUUCGUAAUGGUGAGUCUGCAUACAUGUACGUGAGUGUCUGCAUGUGAUUUGAGAAAAAAUAGUAGUGUUAAUCAACAAGGUAAUUAACCCGUCGUGCUGACUUGAAUGCGUCGGCAGCUGCCGGUUGAACCUGGCUCGCCGAGUGACUGAGAGUGAGACUGCCAACCUGCCCAACGAACGAGGGACAGACACUCCCCUCUCCCUUACUUCGUUGUCAAGACGUGUGUUUGGUUGCUUGUAUUAUUUGGUUCGUAUAUGGAAUAGUUUAAAAUAAUAAUAAUUUUUUUAUUUGGUUGGGUGAAUUGUACCGACCUAUCUAGGAUGAAGUCAUCCCACUCAAUACAUUAUUCUAUAAAUAAUUAUGAACUAUAUGGUACAAGUAAAUUGAUUGAACCUACGAUCAAAUAUCAUCCAUAUAUGCAUUGCAGUCCUCGGUCCCGGAGUACGCCUGCGACCCGCGAACACACCGUCCGUCACGCCUGUUCAAUCAGCUGUUCACAGUUGCUGCUGCCCAUGGGCCUCACGUGCUUCGAUCUAGAUGCCUAGUGCCCACUUUGAGCAUCUUCCCCAUGAUAGUCUUCUUCUGACCAUCUUUCUUGAACGCAUACAUCACUUGAGCACCGUAAUCCUGUGCUCCAUCUGCGAAGGCCCAUCUAUAUGCAUGUCACCUAGGUGUUAGGGCUUCAAAGAACUGAACUUUGAGAUCGCUUUUGGUGGCUAGGAGCAACUUCACACGCUGACAUCAUGCAUUUCUUUUUGAACUAAAUUAAGGGCCUGUUUCAGCUUAGCUUCUCGGGUCUACUUUGGAAAGCUGAAACAAACAGUCCAGCUGUUGAAAUUGCUUUUGGAAAGCUAGCUUCUGAGGAAAUGAACUGAAAGCUGGAAAGCUAACUGAGAGGAGCUUUUCCUAACUUUUGGUGUGUUGAGAAGAUAAAAAUUUAUUACAAAAGUCAAUAGCAAAAGAUCAGCAAUCAAAAAGUCAAUUUUCACAUAGCUAGCUUUCCAGCCAAAAACUCAGGACGUUCGGCGGGCCUGUCCUCAUUGUUGUUUUUUCUUUUUUGGGAUAAUACGCUUGGUAGCAAUCUUUCUAACUAAAUCUAAGGACACACAGGAUAUGACAUGGACGAUAGGAGAUGAUUAUGAGAAGAAUGUUGUUGGUGCACUACACGGGCAACCACAAUGUGGUAGAAAAGUAGUCCAUAUGUACUUUUAUUUUCCAUUCAGCCACCUAGUAACAUUGUGCAAGUAAUCCAUAUGUAGGAGUACAAAUUAAUUUUCGGUUAUCUAUAGGAAAUGGUAGUGUUAAUGGCAACAACAUGUUUUGGAAGUGGAUAUAUAACACACAAAUUCCGUACCUUUUUGUGUGUUCGAGAGGAUCCGUGUCCCAACUAGUUUAGUCUUGUUUGGCGAUGACACAUGCACCUACAUCCAGGACCUUAGGGUUAGGAUUAGUGGGUUUUCAAUGUUAGAACUUGGGUUUUACCAUUCUCCGAAAACAGAUGCAAGGGAAGAAGGCAAUCUUGGCAGUGGAAUCAACGGUGCAUUGACAUUAGGGCGGAAUGUAGUGAAGCAGCGGCAUGAAGAAGGUAGCUAAGUAUAAUGGUAUUACAAGGGUGAUGGGAGACGACGAUGAGCAGAAUGUUGCGGCUUGCCGAAGCAUAACCUACUAUUGUGGUUGGAGCACCGACAAGUAUGGGCAACCGUACAGCCGUAGAGGAGAGGGGAGGGUGAGCCGAUCAGGGAUGUUAGGUAAUUUUCUCUUAAUGAAAUACGUGCUAGUGAAAAAAAGGACGUUAGGCAAACAGAUGGGAGCAAUGGAAGAAGGAAACGACGUCAAUGUUUGAUCACCUAAAAAUCGUGUGUUUUCAGCAUUAGAAUCACUAUGAGUGAGAAGUAGACAGGUAAAAACCUCAAGUACCAUGCCACUACUUGCACCAGUCGCAGUAUAGUGUCCAAUAAACCCACAAAUGCAGCGUCAAGACCUGUCGUUCCUACCUCUCCGAUCCUAUGAAGCGAGCAGCCAGCCAGCGCCGUUCCCUCUGAUGCCGUCCACUUCCACGUCCCUCCCGUGCUGCCGUGCACGACAAACCCAGGCGCUCGUGCCGGUGUAGCCAUAGCCCCGAUGACUUUGACGACGCGCUGGGAUUGUUGCGGCCGGAAGCUAUAAGCCGAGCACGCCGGCCGAUCGCUGAGAGAUCAACGUGUCUUGUUCCAGCUCCACCAUGGCGUCUGUUCUUGCCGCGGUGGUGCCCGUCCUGCUCGCUCUUCUGGCUCGAAGCGGAUCACCGGCCGCAGCCGGCGCCGCCACCGAGUUCGUUCUCGCCGGCUUCGCGGGUGCGAACUUGACGGCCAGCGGCGCGGCCGUGGUCACCUCCUCCGGCCUCCUUCGGCUCACCAACGAGACCAACGAGGCGUUCGGGCACGGCUUCCACCCCGCACCGCUGCGGUUCAAGGACGCCUCCACGGGCGCGCCGGUCUCCUUCUCCACCACGUUCGUGGUCGCCAUCCUGCCGCGCUACCCGGACGCGCACGGCCACGGGCUCGCUUUCGCGCUGGCGCCGUCGGCGACCGUGUCGGGAGCCGUGGCGGGGAAGAACCUCGGGCUUUUUAACACGUCGAACCACCUCGGGAAUGGGCAGAGCGAGGUCGUCGCUGUCGAGCUCGACACGGCGAUGGACGAGGAGUUCGCCGACAUCAACGACAACCACGUCGGCGUCGACGUCAACAGCCUAAAGUCCAAUUGCUCGAAGCCAGCGGGCUACGUCGCCGACGCCGGCACCGUCAAGCUCAACGUCAGCUUGGUCUGCGGGGACCCCCUGCAGGUGUGGAUCGAGUACGACGGCGCGAGCACGCGCCUCGAGGUGACCGUGUCACCGGCCGGCGUGCCCAGGCCGGCCGUCCCGCUUGUGUCUUGCGCCGUCAACCUCUCGUCGGUGGUGGCCGACGGCACGUACGUCGGGUUCUCGGCCGCGAACGGCGCUGCCUCGAGCUCGCACUACGUUCUCGGCUGGAGCUUUCGCCUCGGCGGCGGCCGCGCGCCGGACCUCGACCUGUCAAAGCUCCCGCGGGUCCCGUCGUCUAGGCCCAAGAAGACCAUGCAUCCGCAACUGGUCCUGGCGCUGAUCCUGCUUGCCGUCGUGGCGCUCCUCGUGGUGUCAGCGGGCGUCACGCUGUUCGUCGUCUGGCGCCGGCGGUUCACCGAGGUGGAGGAAGAUUGGGAGUUGGAGUACGGACCUCACCGGAUCAGCUACAAAGACCUGCACGCGGCGACCAGAGGCUUCCGCGACGUCAUCGGCGCCGGCGGCUUCGGCCGCGUGUACCAUGGCGUGCUCCGGCGGUCGGGCACGGAGGUCGCCGUCAAGAAGGUGGCCCAUGACUCGCGGCAGGGCUUGCGCGAGUUCGUCUCGGAGAUCGCGAGCAUGAGCCGGCUGCGCCACCGCAACCUGGUCCAGCUCCUCGGCUACUGCCGGCGACGGGGAGAGCUCAUACUCGUCUACGACUACAUGGUCAACGGCAGCCUCGACAAGCACCUAUUCGACGCUGAAAACAGGCCGGCGCUGAGCUGGGAGCGGCGCGCCAAGAUCAUCCGCGACGUUGCCGCCGGGUUGCUGUACCUGCACGAGGAGUGGGAGCAGGUGGUGGUGCACCGCGACAUCAAGGCCAGCAACGUCCUCCUCGACACCGACAUGAACGGCAAGCUCAGCGACUUCGGCCUGGCGCGGCUCUACGACCACGGCAGCGAUUCGCAGACGACGCACGUCAUCGGGACGCUCGGGUACCUCGCGCCGGAGAUGAUCAAGACCGGCAAGGCCACCCCGAGCGCCGACGUGUUCGCGUUCGGCGCCUUCCUGCUCGAGGUGGCCUGCGGCCGGAGGCCCGUGGAGUCACUCAGCAACAACAAUGCGGACCCGGCGGGGCUCGUCGACAACGUCCUCGAGUGCUGGAAGACCGGGAGGAUCAGAGACGCCAGGGACCCGAGGAUCGGCAAGUGCGACGAGGACGACCUCGAGCUGGUGCUCAAGCUCGGGUUGCUAUGCUCGCACCCUGAUCCCCGGUGCCGGCCGAGCAUGAGGCAGGUGGUGCAGGUACUGGAAGGCGCCGCGCCGGUGCCGGAGACGCCGCCGGAAGAUCUAGGCAGCAGCGGCAGGACCUUCGGGUACUACGAGACGUUCGAUGAGUUCCUCAACAUGUUCCCGACGACGAUCGAGGUGGCGACCGUCACGCCGCGCCUUGGUCGCACUCCAGCGCCGAACACCAGCACCUGAUCUCCGGCGGAGUUCUGGCUCUGCCAUCAGCUCUCGUCAAUAAAUUACAAAAUUCUCUUGUAACUAAAUUCAAAUUUCUCUUACCACUAAAUUGCUACAAAAUCGCUGUGAUGUGCUUAGGAUGGUUCAAAUUGGAAAGCAAACAGUUACAAGAUUAGGUGUUGUAAUAAUCUUGUCUAAAGAAGUGAACAUAGGUUGUCAGACAGUUUUAGGAUGAUCAAAGAGUGGUUUUGCUUUCAUAAGUCCUAACACCUAAUUAACCUAAUCGUUGAGGUUUUGUACGUGUAAUUUUUUUUCUGCAAGUGAGUAAUCGUUGAAGUUUUGUAUGUGUAAUCUUUUUUGUAAGUGACCAUAUGAGAUACUAUAAUCUCCGAAAUGUUUUUCUACAUAUUCAUCAUUUUAGAUUUAUAUAUUUUUGAGAUAACUCAUCUUGUAAGUGAUAAGAACUAAAGAUCAUGUUACCACUCAACCAUCAAAAUCACAAAUAAUAAUCUUUUUUUUCCUUAUAUCCUCCCUUCGUUGACCGCAACAUUGACCUACGCAUCAUAGAACAAGCAAACCGGUUCAUGCAACCCAAAAUCCCCACAUUUAAAACUCUGUACCUGUAAUGCAGUGUGCCGUUGCAUCCUCCUCAGUCCCACACGACACGAGCAAGGCAUCAGCCAUCACUCCCGUUUGUCACAAACACAGCCAAAUCCGAUCGAUGUGAACGGCAUCGACCGUUCACCCAGCUAUUCUCUGUCGUUCAUACCUGGUCGCUCGGUUCCCCAGCGAAAUAACAUAGGCAGACCCCCCGCACAUAGCUCUGGCCCAGAGAAUGACUUGAGAUCCUGGCAUCUCUCGAGCGAGCAACUCAGACAUUCGAGUGAUUGACCAUCGAGCCAACACGUGGGGUGGUGCCGACCUGAACGCAUCCAUCAUCGAGUGCCUCUGCCUGCCCAACGCCAACGAACGCCGGCCCGGACCUCGCUCGACCUCGUCGUCAACAAGGCCGGCCGGUCCCGGAGUACGGCGGCCAUACAUCCGGCCUGUGGAAUGCUAAUAACAUGGGAUGGACCUGGCUGGAGAUAUCCAGCAAUGACCACACGGUGUGCAUCGUCCCAAGCUGCAGAGUCAGUCAGUCGUCGUCUUCUAUCACAGCAAACGCAGUACAGUAUUUAAGUAGUGACAGCUACCUGUUCUUGGGUCCCUCUCUGAAUGUUGUACAUGUAUCCGCUGAAUCUGCAUGCAAAUACAGACGGCAGAAGUAGGGACUGAUGACUUGAGGUCUAGACGUCUAAUUAAGCUGAUGUCGACCUCUGGGUACGUAUGCUAUUUACCAAUUUACCACCAUGUUGUUGAUCAAGAUCAGAUAACCACGGUGCUUGUUGCCAGCCUAGAAGGUGCGGUGUGAUGGACAGAGACGGCGGUCACUGCUUGCGAGUGUGGUGCAUGCUUUUGCAUUGCCUGGCCGUUCGUCUGCAAUCGAUAUGAUGUUGUUCAGCUGCCGCGUAAGCUAGGCAAGUCGAUCCACAACUUGGCCGGCAAUUUGCAGUUUCCUUGGCUACGUUAUGCCUCUGGUUAGUACAGUACUAGCUCCAAACUCCCAACUGAAUGCAUGCGAAUGCAAACCACACAGAAGUCUCGAGCUGAAGGGGCCAUUAGCUGGGUAUGUGACAGGGAAUGCGAAUUUGACUUUUGGAAUGCAUGUCGUCGUUUUCCACUGUGAGAAUGACACCUCUACUUGUGUCAAAUUCAGCAAAAACCUAAAGAAUGAUUUGCAAAUUUUAGAUCAAAAAUUUUUACGUCAUAUAUGAAUUGGAGUUUUGCAAAUUCAAAGGUAUCUUAAAGUGAGACACUACACGGCAAAAGCAAUGUGGUGCAGUGCUCCAUAUGAAUAUGCAACACACAUAUAUAUCCUCACUGACAUUUUGCGGAGCUGAAUUUCCAGCAUCUAAAACAAAACAAAAAGGAAUGGGAAAUCUAUAUGUGACUUGAGUAUUCCCUUCAAUAAUUUCUUUUCCGAUUUCAGCUACAUGCACAUAUGACAUCCCUGCUUCAUGUCCGGCAAGAUCAGGGUUCCAGAUUUGGGGAAUUGGAGGCUGCAUUAGAGGAUUUAGAGGGGAGGGAUGUGAAUGAAGGUUAGCCUAGCAGUGGAGGGCCACGGUGGCCACAACGGUGAAGUAGCAUGUGACGGAGGAUGGGCACUGCUGGGGAUCGCCAAAGAACUAAACACCCUCGAGCGCCAUUCGUGGGCAUAGUUUUCCAAAUGGGCCGCCCGGCCCUAGCCCGGCACUAACCCAUCCUGGCCCAGCACUAAUAGGCCCGAAGGGUUUUCGUGCCGGGCUGGGCUGGCACUGCGUGCCGAGGAGGCAGCCCAGGCCCGGCCCGACGACCUUUUUAUCGGGCUGGGCCAGCCCACAACACGACGGGCCAUGCCGUGCUAGUGCCCGGCCCGGCACUAGCAGCAGCGGCCGGCUCCAGUUGCCCUCGGAGGGCGGCGACGGUCGGCGGCCGGCCCCCCGCGUCGGCCCCUGGCGGCGGCGGCGGCGGCGGCUGGCCCCCCGCGUCGACCUCGGGCAGCUGCGGCGGCCGGCCCCCCGCGGCAGCCUCGGGCGACGGCGGCUGGCCCCUUGCGGUGGGCAUGGCGACCACCGUCGCCAAGCAAGCAGGAAGGUGGGACUGUGGGAGGACCCUGGGAGGCGGACGGGUGGAUGGUCAAAUGGGGGGAAAUUGAAAGUAUAAGUAGGGUUCUGCAUUUAUAUGGUAGUUAGAUCGGGCCACAUCGGGCCGGUCCAAAAAUCAUGCCAGGCUCAUGCUGGCCCAGCGUGCCGGGGAGGCGGCCCAGGCCCGGCACUAUCAUCGUGCCGGGCCAGCCCUGGCACUAUUCACUUCGUGCCGGGCCCGUGCUCGUGCCGUGCUUUUUAGUGUUGGGCCUCGAGCCACCCAACGGGCCUGGCCCAUUUGGAAAUCUUUGUUCGUGGGUAAAAACUCUCUAACCUCGCAAGUUCUUGGUCAAGGAAUAAAACUUGGUUAACCUCGCAAGUUCUUAUGGAAACUAUUCUGGUAGUAAAACUCAUACCCUCGCAUCUUCUUUGUUACUGGAGGGACUCGAAGCUGGCAACUGGUAACUAAUAACUAAACUCCAACUGAGCUAACCCUCGAGUGUUCGGAAUCAGUCCUGAACACCGAGCUUUCAUCUUUUUUACUCUUUACUCAGGAACGGAACCUGAAGGGAGAUUCCGUGAGGUUACAAGAUUCUCAGAGCAACACAACGAACCAGGCGUCACGAGGUUGGACAACUAUCUCAAGCCAAGGGUGGAGACACGAGGCUGGAAGAUCGAUCUGGUGAAGGUGAAGUCCCGAGGUUGGAAGGACGGAGGCGUGAGAAACGUGACCAUAUUGAGGAAUUCAAUUUAUACACGUUACCCCAUGACCUUUAUGUAUGGCAUAUCCUAGAAAUGUAGUGGUUGAGGAAGGACAUUUCGAAAUGUAAAGUGGCUCAUGUGUCACUAUAAUAGGGGAGCUCUACUCCAUUGUAAAGGAAAAUCGAUUGUUUUUUAGAACUUCCAAGUGUUAUCUCUUUUUAUUCACGAAUUUGUUUGGUAUCGAAUUUUUCACGAAUUUGUUUGGUAUCGAAUUUUCUUUGAGACCAACAGGCAAUGAGGAGGUUAGGGUGGGCGCAACUCAUUUCAAUGGUGUAUGGUAGCAUAGUGAUGACAGAUCGAUCCGGUGGUGGGAUCCACCUGAAAUGAGAGAAGAAGGGCGGUAAGGGGCACCACUCAACGCAAGAGGAAGCUCCUCGGUGAGCACAUCGGGAGGAAGAAGGAACUACAAGAAGAAGCCCAAGGAAGAAGAUCUAGUAACUGUUGGAUUUCAAUCCAUGAACAUUCAGAUGUAUGGAAAAGAAAAGAAAAGAAAAGAAAAGAAGCCCGUAAGCAGUAUAGCUGGCCUAAAAAGAGAUACCAUGCAUGGCUUCAAGGAUGGGUCCGGGAUGUGCACUGCUGGCGCAGAACCCAAACACCAAAACAAGCACACACUUGCCAAACGUCACUCUUCAACACUUGUCGUACAGUAGAUUUCUACCUCUCCCAUCCUUGUCGUGCUGUGAAGAUAUCACCCGCGAGCAGCCAAUCCGAGCGCUCCCCGCUCCCAUCCUGGCCCCUCCUCCGAUGCCGUCCACUUCCACGUCCCUCUCGCCCGGCACGGCGCCGGACCACCAGCUGAUCGAGGCAUCGGCGACGACGCGACCAACCCCUACCCGGGCACCAGUAACCGGGACAUGCCUUUAACACGCUGGGAUCCCACUUCGACAGAAAGAUGUAAGCAAAGCAAACGACGCCUCGUUUCGUUCCAUAUCAUGGAGGCGGCCAUUCUUGCCGUGCUGGUGGCCGUCCUGCUCCUCCUCGCCCGAGGCGGAUCGGCGGCGGCGGGGGCCGGCGCAGCCACCGAGUUCGUGUUCACCGCCGGCUUCGCGCGCCAGAACGUGACGACCAGCGGCGCGGCCGUGGUCACGGCCUCCGGCCUCCUGCAGCUCACCAACGAGACGAACGAGGUGUUCGGGCACGGCUUCUACUCGGCGCCGCUGCGCUUCAAGGACGCCUCCACGGGCGCGCCGCUCUCCUUCUCCACCACCUUCGUGUUCGCCAUCGUGCCGCGGUACCCGGACGCGCACGGCCACGGGAUCGCCUUCGCGCUCGCGCCGUCGCCGGCCGUGGCGGGAGCCGUGGCGGGGAAGAACCUCGGCCUGUUCAACACGUCGGAUAACACGGGGCAGGGGAGGAGCGGGAUCGUCGCCGUCGAGCUCGACACGGCGCGGGACGAUGAGUUCAGGGACAUCGACAAGAACCACGUCGGCAUCGACGUCAACAGCUUGGAGUCCGUGAACUCAACGCCGGCGGCGUACGUCGAUGUCGGCACCGGCAGGCUCGUCAACUUCAGCCUGGUCAGCGGAAACCUCCAGCAGGUGUGGGUCGAGUACGACGGCGCGAGCAUGCGCAUGGAGGUGACGGUGUCGCCGGCCGGCAUGCCCAGGCCGGCUGUCCCGCUCGUGUCGUACACCGUCAACCUCUCGUCGGCCGUGGCCGACGACACUUACGUCGGGUUCUCGGGAGCGAACGGUGCGGCCUCAAGCUCUCACUACGUUCUUGGCUGGAGUUUCCGCCUCGGCGGCGGCCGCGCGCCGGACCUCGACCUCUCCAAACUCCCGCCGCUCCCACCUUCAAGAUCCAAGAAGAUGAUGCCGCUGCUACUGAUCCUCACACUGUUCCUAGUUGCCGUCUUGGUACUACUCCUAGUGUCGGGGGCAGUCGUGGUGCUCGUCAGAAGGCGCCGCCGGAUCGCCGAGGAGGAGGAGGACUGGGAGAUCGAGUACGGCCCUCACCGGAUCCGCUACAAGGACCUGCACGCGGCGACCAGGGGCUUCCGCGACAUCAUCGGCGCCGGCGGCUUCGGCACCGUGUACCACGGCGUGCUCCGGCGGUCGGGCGCCGAGGUCGCCGUCAAGAAGGUGGCCCACGACUCGCGGCAGGGGCUGCGCGAGUUCGUCUCGGAGAUCGCGAGCAUGAGCCGGCUGCGCCACCGCAACCUGGUGCAGCUCCUCGGCUACUGCCGGCGACGGGGCGAGCUGAUGCUCGUCUACGACUACAUGGUCAACGGCAGCCUCGACAAGCACCUGUUCGACGCCGGCAAGCCGGCGGCGCUGAGCUGGGAACGGCGCGCCAAGAUCGUCCGCGACGUCGCCGCCGGGCUGCUGUACCUGCACGAGGGGUGGGAGCAGGUGGUGGUGCACCGCGACAUCAAGUCCGCCAACGUGCUCCUCGACGCCGACAUGAACGGCAGGCUCAGCGACUUCGGCCUGGCGCGGCUGUACGACCACGGCAGCAACCCGCAGACGACGCACGUCAUCGGGACGCUCGGGUACCUCGCGCCGGAGAUGAGCAAGACGGGCAAGGCCACCACGAGCACCGACGUGUUCGCGUUCGGCGCCUUCCUGCUCGAAGUGGCCUGCGGCCGGAGGCCCAUGGAGCGCAACGACGACCUCGACUCGCCGGGGCUCGUCGACCUCGUCCUCGAGCACUGGAAGGCCGGGAGGAUCAUGGACGCCAGGGACCCAAAGAUCGGCGAGGGCGACGAGGCCGAUGUCGAGCUGGUGCUCAAGCUCGGGCUGCUCUGCUCGCACCCGGACCCCCGGUGCCGGCCGAGCAUGAGGCAGGUGGUGCAGAUACUGGAAGGCGCUGCGCCGGUGCCAGAGACGCCGCCGAAGGAUCUAGAAAACAAUAACAGGUUGUUCUAUGGAUACAUCGAGUCGUUCGACGAGUUCGCCACCGUGUUCCCGACGUCCGGGACCACCACCGUCACGACACAGCCGUCUUCUUCGCACUCCAACGACGAGCAGCAGGAGGUGAUCUCCGGCUGAGUGGUGACAUCUUCUCUCUUCACCAAACCACCAAAAAGUUCAGUCAUGUGCCUACUUACGGUGGUUGGAACUUGUAAAGGAAAGCAAGUAGUCAUAGAUUUAGAGUCAAAGAGGUGUUUGAUCUUUUUCGAAGUGAACAUAGGAUAUCGUCAGCCAUUUGUAGGGAUGACAAAAACAAUAAAGUUUGAUGUAUCAAGUCCCAACUGCCGAGGCCGGCUAUACCAAUCAGGUUAAUUAUCAUUUUUGGCUGGUGCAUUUCCAGAAGAAAAGACUCUGCAAAUGACAAGUGCAUGAGAACGGGUGGUGGACCACAAUAACCUUAUAUGGAUUGUAGGUGAAACAGUGAAUCUCUUCAAAUUAACAGUUAAAUAAACCUCAAAAGAAGUAAUGAUAUGGAAACAUCAUUUUUGUGAAGAAUCAGAACCCAGGUGUCGCUUUCGCUGGGCAUCAACUUGCUUACAUGGGAAGAAGAUUGUGGCAUGUGAACCAUAAACUUUAUAAUAGAAGUAUUGAGUUUAGAACAGUGGUCAGUGGACUUGGGAAAGAUACGGGAAGGUAUCUGAAAUCUAAAAUAUCUGAACAACCGAAAUAGACAGCACGUACAAGUGACAUGAGGAAGGUCCUAAUUGGAAAAUUACGACAGGCAAUGCCAGCUUCUAUCCAUAUAACAUUAGCUUACAGGUUAGCUGACUAGUUCAUUCAUCUAUAGCCUCAGCCACAAGCAGAAUCAUCAUCAUCUUCCUGGAUGCCCUGUGCAGCACCUUGGAUCAUUUCAUCAUCAACUCCUGGAAGGAAGUUUAGAACGUCUGAUAUUUAGCUUUUGUCAUUACCUGCAGAUAAAGUCUACAAAAGGAAAUACAUGUGGAUGUACCUUCAAUGAAGGAUUCAAAUUCAUCUUCAUUUGGUUCCCUUGGUGCGAUUCGGCUGACUGAUUGAUUAAUCUCCAUCCAGUUUGGUUGCUCAACUGGGCCAGAGAACAGUGCAGGUGUAUCCACAACCCAGUCAUCAACUAUGUCUACGUAGUCCACUGAGACAGGAUCAAAUGCUUUCACCUUGCGCUGUUGUCUAUGAACAAUUAUUAAUAAGAUCGGUCAAUCAAACCAUGUUUUUUUAGCAACACAUUCAAAUUUAACUCAUAAUGGCAAGACUCUAUACAAAAAGAUGAUUCCAUUACCUUUGCUGCAGCCGUAGGUUGUAUUGUACAAAGGUGAGAUCAUGCAUUCGCUGACGCUCAAAACUAUUCAAUCUUUCAUCAUGAACUUGCUCAAAAGGAAUGUGCGCCCGAUCACAUCCUCUAGCGCUGCAGGUUUGACUAAGAAUACGGACCGCUAGACGUGUUAAAUUUGGGCAAGCUCCUCCAUAUGUAUACCACCAUUCAGCUGUAAGAUAAAAUAACAAUAGUAAAGGCAAAAUGUUAAAUAUCACUUAACAAACUUUACAUUGUGACAACAUCAUUAAAGGGAAGCACAAUUUAACUAGGUUCCAAAUAUUGAAAGAAGGCUAACAAUGUAAAGUUUGUCAGAAAAGUCUCAUUUGGUUAGAUAAAACAAAAUAACCCUACAGAUGUAACUCAAGUUUGCAUGACAAAAAAAAACAUAAUACUAGCGUGUAUUACUAGUUAACGAGAAAUUCUUAAAUACUAACCAGGAGGUAAAGUUCGUCUGGAUCGGAUAGCCAUCUGCCUACGAAAAUCCCCUGCUGUCUCACUCCGGUACAUGUUGAGCUCUCGCUGGAUUUUAUCUUGGAUUUUCACAUCAGAAACCAGCCUUUCUAUGCAAUCUAGCAUUCCUGAGAAGAUUCCAUUUGAUACAUCACCUCGAAUUCCAUCAAAAAAUAGUGGAUUCAGGAAGAAACCAGCUGAAUGAAGUGGCCGUGGUGUUUGGUUGUCCCAUCUCCAGUCGAUGAUAUUCCAAUAAGCCAUGUAGUCGUUCUUACUCACUAGCUCUUUCUUGAUUGCUGCUUUGGCCUGGUACAAUCCAGCAUAAAUGUACCCCAUAGCAGGCCUCUUUGUACUACCAACUAGCUUAAGGAGAUGCACAAGUGGCUCGGUGAUGUGAACAACAGCAGCACAAGAGGACCAAAACUGCAAACUAUUAACAAGAUUGCUUACUUCGAUCCCUCCUUUCUUUGGCAGCAAAAAGUGUAUCCAUUCAUCCGAGUUGACCAUGGCUUGCAAAGCCUCCUUCAGACCGUACAUGUUCUUCAGUGUGACAAAGUUCAUAGAAGCGCGAGUCUCUGCAGGAACUAGCAGAUCCUUCCCAUGCAGAUACUUCUUCAUUAGAUUCAAUGCAAAUGCGCUGUUGUAGAAAAAUCCUGUGAGGGCCUUUGCAUUACUUAUUAUCUCACUGAUUGCCCCUACCUUACUGAAAUCUUCAAGCAUGCCAUCGAUGCACUGGAAAGAGCAUGGAGACCAGAACAAUGUUGGAAAUGUUUCACCUAGCUUUUUUCCUGCAGCUGCAUGGAUCUCAGAGUUGUUUGUGAUUACUUGGACAACUUUUUUCUCGCCAACUUCCUCGACAACACUUUUCAGUAACUCAUACAGUGCAUCUGAAGAUGCGACAAUGCUGGUUGCAUCCACCGAUUUGAGGAACAUAGUGCCUUCUGGGCAAUACACUGAAAAGUUUAUCAAGGUUCUGCCUUUAUCAGUGAUCCACUCAUCAGCCAACACCGAGCAGCCAGUCCUUGUCCAUGACCCCUUGAAGAACUCCAACCGAGACGUCGCAUCAUCCAGUGACUUCUUAAGAAUGUGACCACGAAAGUCAUGGUAUGAGAGCGCCUCCGGCCUCCCUCCUGCCGAUGCAAUAGCCUCAAGCAUGGGCUGGAAGUAGACUGAAUUCACUGCUUCCAAUGGCACACCAACAUCAUACAAGAACCUCCCAACUGCCACAGAAACCUGCUCCUUGUCCAAACCAGCAUGUCCGAAAUGUCCUGAUGAUGGUGUAACUGCGUCGACUGCCAUCACAACCUGAUGAAGAGGAUUGGUCUGAGGAGUAGACGGAACAUGCUGCUGCAGAGUCGGGGGAGUAAGUGGUGGAGUGGAGGCGUUACUCAACAUCUUCCUCUUCUUCUUACUGCUGACACUCCCCCUCAUGGUCUCCGGAAGCGGAGGCCUCUGUUCGUCGAGCGGCACGGGUUCGAAGUCCAGCACCUCGUUGAGCGGGAUCAUGUGGAUGGGGCUGUCGGUGGCCCCACCGCUCGCGGCGGAGGCGGGCGACGCGUCGGUGGGGGCGAAUCGCCUCAUGUCGCCGGGCGGGAGUGCGUUGGCUAGCUUGCGCUGCAUCUUCUUGGCGGCGACAGCGUCGAGGCUGCGCAUCAUGGUGUCCUGGACGUCGCGGGGCACCUUGGGGCAGCAGCAGGCGUUCCCGGGGCGGCGGGCCAGGUGCUCCUUGAAGCGGUGGAUGCCGCCGCCGAGGAAGUGCUUGCCGCAGUAGGCGCACUUGAGGCGCACCCGGCCCUCGGCGCGCACCAUGAGGCAGUGCUUCCACGCCGGGUCGUGCUUCUGCGCGCCGAUCUGCACCACCUCCUCCUCCUCCGCCCCCGCCCCGGCCGCCGCCGCGGCGUCAUCCCCCUCCUGCCUCUCCAUCCGGGCGCGAGCACUGCAUCAGCCAUCACCACCGGGCGUCACGAACGGCGCAAUUGGAUUCGAACGCAAUUCAUCGAGAGUCCUGCUGCUAAUCCCCCAAUUAGCCGAUGGCGCGCGCGCGAAAUGAACCUGUGCGGCCCCGCGCGCGCGAACCGAGCGAACCAGGAGAACCUGAAAGGAGUGGGGGAAAGGGUGGGAGGAGCGGGAUCGAGAGAGAAGAGAGAACUCACCCGGGUUUUUGGGAGGCGAAACGGCCGGGCUCCCCCAAAUCGGCGUCCGCCGGGGCGGGGAGGAAGAAAACCAGUGAGGUGGAGGUGAUUGGGGAUGGUGAGCGACGGGCGAGACGUGGGUGAGGAGCGAGCCGGCCGGGUGGGGUUGGUUGGUUGACCUGGCCGAGAGGGAGGGGGAGAGGGAUCGGGCACCGGCCCAGCCGGUUCUCGCGUGGGUUGGUUCGGGUCAGGUCACAUCAGGUUUGGGCUGAUCGGGGCGAAUGUGCCGGACCGUGGGCCGGCCUGGUUGGUUUGGCCGGAGGAGAGUGCAAAGCACUCGUUGCCCCACCCGUCAAACCGGGCAUCACCGGCCGCGGCGCCGGCCCGGAGAUGCUCGUUUCCCGACUCCCGAGGCACUAGCUGUCGCGCAAUGGGUACGGUGCAAGCUGCAGGGGGCAGAUGGGGACAAGUAAACACCUCACUCCACUCCAUCUCAGUUCUCAGCUGAUGGCAAAGAUGAACUGAGAGCUGAUGGCGAAGAUGAACUGAGAACUGUAGCUAGAUUGAGAGCUGGGGAAAGAGGUCGGGGAGGGGGGAUUUCGUUCCGAAGGCCUUGCUACGAGCUGAUCUUACCAUCACCAUUCAGCAGCACCGAGGUAUGGUUCUCUCGGGUCACAAUGUUUGCAUAUCUUUCUGCAGAUCGAGCUAGGUCUAUAUGUUGGGGAAAAUAAUUAGUUUUCUCUUCCCUUUUUGGCUGGGGAAUGUCAGUGAAAAUCGCAUGGGAAACUUCCGUGAGAUUGUGCCCGUGCGUGUGAGAUUUCGGAAAUAUGUAGGACAAAUCCCGGGCAAAAGGAAGAAGUGGCGUGCUCAAUUUAUUCUUCCCCCAAGUGACUGGUUGAACUCGCUGGAGUUGGUAGCUUUGGUUCGUUAUGUGGACCUGAUAUGAUGUGCCAGUAUCAGGAGGGAAGUGCCUUUGAGGGAUGGGAUCAUGGGAAUGAAUCUUUUUUGUUUUUUUGCCUGCUCCCCUUCUCUCUUCUUCUCUGCUCGCAUUUGGGAGACCUGACGCCUACCAGGAAGCUAGGGGAGUUCAGUUCACGUUGAUUUCUUUGUUUGAGAAUUAGUGUCUUUUUUUGGAAAAAGACACGUAGGUUACCCCCGGUAAAUAAUUAGGCAUUAGAUUAGAAAACGUUAUUUGUCUCAUGAUUUAGAGUUACAAGUACUGUACUUCUCGGACACAUUUCAUGGUACCAAAUUAUAGGUCGACCUAUAAUUUGGAACAGAGGGAGUAGUACGUUAAUUUUAGGUUAUGCAUUCUUAGAUGUAAAGUAUGUGUACCUGUAUUUUGUUAGUUGGAUUUGACCAAUUGGUGUCGAUUCUUAGAUGGAGAAUUUUCAGGGUGUGUAGGUUAAGUGGGUGUUUGGUUCCACCUUGCUAAACUUAGUUGCUAAAGUUUAGCAACUUUUAGCUGCUAAACUGCCAAACACCCUUGCUAAAACUUGCUAAAGUUGAGUUGCUAAAGUUUAGCACUUUAGCAAGUUUUAGCAACCAAAAACUUGUCUCCCCCCUCUUGCGCACCUAUACCCCUCAUUUAUUGCUUGUCUCCCCCCUCCUGCGCACCUUUAAUAAGGGUAGAUAGGUCUUUUUAUAGCUCAUUAAAUGUCUUUUAGCAAGAGUAUCCAAACAGCUUUUGCUAAAGUUUAGCAACUUUUAGCAACUAAAGAUUAGCAAGAGGAACCAAACAUGCCCUAAGAUGGAAAUCAACAACUGUAGGUUUUAAGGACGUGAUUUAUGAAACAUUAAAUGGCUCUAUUGUAAUUAGGAUUUUCGCACUAUAAUAAAUCCCAACAGCUGGCAUCACAGUUUGGAUGGAUUUUAUAUGGGAGGCUGAGAGGUCCUAAUUUUGUGUCUUGAACUAGAUAUGUUGGGCCUAACGAAAUUUAGGGUCUUUCUAUCGAUCGAGAUGGUGUUGGUUUCAGCAGUUUUUUCAGUUACAGUGUUUGAAUUCCCAAAUCAAGGGUAGAAUGGGGAGAUGAUGAAAUGGUAGGCAUGCUGUUUUUCUCUAAACCUUAGGAAGUUUAUUUGUGCCCCCAUGCUGGGUGGGAUACAGGUAGCUCUGGUUUGUUUUUCAUAUGGCUUUCUGCAUAAGCAGGGAAGCAUGUUUCAUCUGUAAAGGAAGGGGAAUGCCACUGGAUGUGGUGAAAAUUUAGAAGGAAUGUACUGAAUGGUGAACGCCUACCAGAUGUCAGAAAAUAUGGGUCAAAUGAAACCUUAUUUAGGAAAUACAUCUCUUACGAGGCUAUAGAUUGUGAAUGAACUGAUACCUUUUUUUUCUGCAGGCAUGUCAAUAACCGAGAGCUUCACGAUAUACCAUGGGGAUAAUUUGUUUACAAAUGGACCUGCGGGGGUGCAGCGGAAUCUGGCCGGCCGCGUCGUGUACAAGAAGCUGCUAGGGCCGCAGUACAUGUCGUUCCAGCAAGUGCGGCGCUGGAUAUUGGAGAUGUUCAACGUGGACGAGGUGAGCUUGUGCUGCGGCACAUCGUGCCUGUAAAGCCCAAGAACCAGGCGCGCGCUUACAACAUGGCGGUUGAUAUAGUAUGGCUUGAUUCCUGGAGGACAUUUCUUGAAGUGUCAUUGCGCCAAGGUGUCUCUUUGGUACUCUAUGUUCAGUGGCAGGCCAAGGCGGCGUCAGGUCCCGUUUGUGAAGGCGCUAUCGGCGAGAAGAACAGCGCCACACCUGCUCUGGCUCCAGCUCCGGCCCCGGCAACUGCCCCUGCGCCCACUCCUGCUCCUGCUCCUGCCCCUGCGCCUGCUCCCGCUCCCGCUCCCACCGCUAAAGAGCCCACCGUGGCCGGUGAACAAGGCGGAAGCUGGGACAGGGAGGACCCGGGCCGACGUCUCUACCGCUGCCCUCUGUUGGAGGUACCUUAUACUAGUUCCUUUUCCCAUGCCAUUAUUUGAAGAAAUUUAUAGAUUAGAGAAGUAGUCAAAUCUACAAAUGACCUCGAUUCAUUCCGCUUCCCAGGAUCCUGGGGGAUUGUGGAUUCACGCAGUGGCUGGACGAGGCCUUCCCUGAAAAGGCGACCAUGCACAUCAACAACCUCCUGAGUAGGGAGGAGUGCCUCGAGCAGCAGGUCGAGAACCUCCAGGAGGAGCUCAACGAGCUCCGUCGCCGGUACGUGACCGGCAGCAGCCAUCGUGACGGGCAAGACAGCGAGACACGCCCACGCCAAGUCCGCAGAAUGAUCUAGGACAACUGAUGGUGUACCCUGCUUCUCCCAGUUUGCAUGAAGUCCUCAAAUGUUACUAGUCAUGCUGUCCGUUUCUUGUUCGUUCAACCAUUUGUUCAGUCAUGUUGUUGCUAGAGCAUGUCGCUCUGAACAGUCUGAACCGUGUUCCAAUGUUAUGCCAUCUGUAAUGUAAAUUACUUGCAUCAACGCAUUUACCAUUUCAGAACAAUGUUGGACGUACUUCUUAUUUUGUCGCUACUUGUAUCGGUUCAAGUAUCAUGUCGAACAACCGUACUGAACCCCAAAUCUUGCACAAGUGACAAUCUGAAAGCUGCAAACGCGUUUGAAUCCAUAAAGGUCUGCAAACAGGCGAGAGUGAUCACUAUCCAUUACCACUCAAGAAUUUCUCAUGUUAUCCCCAUGUCACGGUAAAAAGAAUUUGAAUAUUACCAAUCAGUACAACAUUGUAAAAACUUGGAACACCUACAGCAUGAACAAGCGGAAAAGCACAAUAAGAAGCUAUCACUGAUUGACUAGCAGUAGAAGACUGCGCACAUGGAAAACGGAAUCCAAAACAAAUUGGAAUAGAAAUUGUUUCGCGUGUAGUAUAUAUGACCAACUCUUGUGCGAGGAGCACUGAAAAACUUACAAAAAAAAAAA
Molecule: long non-coding RNA, 45457 nt
Filed under: Setaria viridis
Lineage: Eukaryota; Viridiplantae; Streptophyta; Magnoliopsida; Poales; Poaceae
Description: long non-coding RNA (SVIR_LNC010064)
Rfam family: U1 spliceosomal RNA (bases 19224-19384)
Source: RNAcentral